RNAcentral lists this long non-coding RNA (49691 nucleotides) under Setaria viridis. RNAcentral describes it as "long non-coding RNA (SVIR_LNC006286)". The record is from RNAcentral. Lineage: Eukaryota; Viridiplantae; Streptophyta; Magnoliopsida; Poales; Poaceae.
UGCCUGUGAAAUCGAGAAUGUCAUCGAUCAACUGAUAUGCUAUGCCCUGGAAGAGAGAGUGUAGGUCUUCUUAACAGUUCAUUUGUCUAGCAAAAAUAGGAACAGCUUCUGUCUAAGGAAAAAUACAGCACACCAAGUGUCUGCCAUACUGAUAAGCAAGAGCUUGUACUUCUGUUGUUUGCUCAGCGAGGACAGCAAUAGCUUUGCAGCUGUCUUGUAGUAUGUCUUCUGCAAAUAAUAGUCCAUGCUGUACAAGCAUCCAUGAACAGGUGUCACAUUUGAAAGCAAAUAUGGCUAGGAAAAUUGUAGAUUGAUUAUAAAGGUGCAUAGCACGUACAUGUACAUAGGAUAGGGUCCUAGGGUUAGGAGGAGCCCUUGCCUAUGCUACAAUAAACCCUAGCGCCUGACCUGAUAGGGGCCGGUGGCAUAGCACAGGCGCCUGUCAGGGUGCCGGCAGCACAUGGGCCUAGCCGGGCUCUAGCCCAAUUACACAUAUUCUAACACACUCCCGCAGUCUAAUCGUCGGUACCACGAAUGUUUAGACUGGACCUGAACUCUGUGAAUACAAAAGAAGGCAACCCCUUGGUGAAGAUAUCGGCGUACUAAGACGAUGUGGGAACAUGUAGUACUCGAACAUCACCCAUAGCAACACGCUCCCGAACGAAGUGAAGAUCGAUCUCAAUAUGUUUGGUGCGCUGAUGCUGAACCGGGUUGGAGGAUAUGUAGACCGCGCUGAUAUUGUCACAAUACACCAAGGAGGCGCGGCGAAGUGGGGCAUGGAGCUCUUGAAGAAGCUGGCCCCUGCCAGGUAGCUUCGGCGAUGGCAUUGGCCACGACGCGGUACUCAGCUUCGGCACUGGACCUGGAGACAGUGUGUUGUCGCUUAGAGGACCAAGAAACCAGGUUGUCGCAAGGAAGACCGCAUAGCCAGAAGUGGAUUUGCGAGUGUCUGGACAGCCUGCCCAAUUCGCAUCAGAGUAUACCACCAGUGAAUCCUGACCUGAACACGGACGCAGCAGUAGGCCGAGAUGGAGAGUGCCACGGAUGUACCGGAGGAUGCGCUUCAGGGCAGCAAGGUGAGACUCUUGCGGAUCAUGCCUGUGGAGACAGACUUGCUGAACGGUGUAGGCAAUAUCCAGCCUGGUGAAAGUGAGAUACUGCAAAGCGUCGGCGAGACUGUGAAAAUCCGAGGCAUUGGUGACAGGGGCACCUGAAGCAGCCGACACCUUGGGAUUGGUGUCAACGGGUGUGGAACAUGACCUACACUCAGCCAUGCCAGCACGAUCCAGGAUAUCAAGCAUGUACUGCCGCCGAGACAACAGAAAUCCUCCACCAACAACAGGCUGCACACGCAUACCCAGGAAAUGAUGAAGAGAUCCAAGAUCCUUCAUAGAGAACUCCAGCUGCAAAGCCUAAAUAAUCUGUCGAAGCAACGUUGGAGAAGAAGUCGUGAGUACAAUGUCAUCAACAUAGAGUAAGAGAUACACGAUCUCGGUGCCUCGGUGAAACACAAACAAUAAGGUGUCAGAUUUGGCCUCCACAAAGCCAACAGACUGAUAAUAAGCUGCAAACUAACUAUGUCAGGCGCGAGGAGCUUGCUUCAAGCCGUACAGAGACUUGUUGAGGCGGCAAACGAAGUCUGGAUGAGCAGAAUCCUCAAAACCAGCAAGCUGAGCACAAUACACAGUCUCGGAAAGAGUGCCACGGAGAAAUGCAUUCUUGACAUGUAGCUGGUGAACAGGCCAGUGACGAGAGAGUGCUAGCGAUAGAACUGUCCGGACAGUAGCAGGCUUGACGACUGGACUGAAAGUCUCAUCAAAGUCCAUCCCUGGCCACUGAGUGAAGCCGCGAAGAACCCAUUGAGCCUUGUACCAAUCAAGACAGCCAUCUGAAUUGCACUUGUGCUUGAAUAUCCACUUACCAGUGACAAUAUUAGCACGCGACGGACGAGGCACAAGCUCCCAUGUGUUGUUCUGGAGAAGCGUCGCAUGCUCAUCUUCCAUAGUAGCCCGCCAAUUAGGAUAUUUGGGGGCACUGCGGAAGGACUUUGGAACGAGAGACAACGGCAUAGUGUGGAACAGAAUAGGCUGACGGAACCCAAGCAUGGCAUGGGUGGUCAUGCCAUGCUGGUUGAUGACGGGCGGAACAACGACAGCUCCUUUGGGAAGGACCGGAGCCCGAGCUCCUGGAUCGGCGCCUGGUGCGCUGGUGGUGGGGCCGGCAUCAAAGGCUGGAGGCGGUGAUGGGAGAUGAGGAGCAGCAGAGCGGCGCGUCUAGAUGAAGUGGAGUGGCGUCGAGUCGAAGCCAGGAGGGACCCAUGGAGCCGGGGGCAAGCCGGCGCCAGGGAUCCGCCAAGCGACGACGCUCCAGGGGCACUAGCUGGAACUCCAGGGGACGUGCCAGGGGCACUAGCGGGAACUCCAGGUCCACCAGCAGGGGCGCCGGGGUGACACCAGGAGGUGCUGGUGGGCUCUGGCGACGCACCAGGGGCGCCAGCAAGGGCAGAUGACAUGCUAGGGGCGUGGGGGGCGCUAGGGUGAUGGGUGUGUCGUCCGAGCUGACAUGCAUGAUAGAGAGAAGAGCUAAUAUCUUUAUUACAUGAUGGUAAAAUGUGCGCAAGAUGGGAAAGGGCGUCCAUCCUAGGAUGGCCGGGACGGUGAUGCCAGAUCAUAGAGGUGGCGCCAACAGUGAGAGUAGCAGCAGGGAGGUGCAAGGGGUAUAGUGGACCCGAACUAUUGCACCUGACAAUCACGUUCCUGGACCGAAGAUCCUUCACAGAACAACCAUACGGGUCAAAUUCAAUUGAGCAGUUGUUAUCGGUAGUAAACUGGCGCACGAAAAUAAGAUUCUUAACAAGCUUGCGGGAAACAAGGACAUUAUUAAGAUGCAAAGAACCGAGAAGAAUAGUUGUGAUAGUAGAAGUGACAGGGAGUAAAGAACCGUCAUCCACAGCAAUAGCUGAAGGAAAAGGCUCAGGCAGGAGGCGGUGGGCCGGCGUGGGUGCCCAGGAGGCGGCGAGGCUGCACGGCGCCGUGGCCAUGGCUACAUGAACGGAACAGACAGGGAAACAAAGAAAAAAAGAGGGAUUUGCCGAGAAUGACUCCUAAACUCGCGAUUGAACGAGCAAAAUGGAACAAGGACGAUGAGACAAAUGAGAUGGUGUGCUCACCUUCGACCACCGAUGAUGAACAAUGGCAACGGAAAAGCUCGCCGGAGUUGGGGAAGAUGACGGAGCCGGUAUCGGAUUCGCGCAAUCCACUGCACCACGGCGUAGAGCUCGAAGAGAGGAACUCCAUGGUGGUGUCGGUUUUCUCUAGAAGUCCACGGUUUCGCCAGAAAAUCUCGCCGAAAUUUGAUGAAGAUCGGACUUUGACUUCAGAUCUACGGAGCUACGAGACGCAACUCGUGAAAAUAUUUUCAGAUGCGUUGAGACGAACGCGGUGAUAUAUAUACGCUGGCUUCGGAAAAAAAUAUUUUCGAGUUAACUUUUCUAUUAUUGGAAUUUCUGGAUUUAUUUAUAUGCACGAAAACAAUUCCAGAAAUAGCCGGACUCGUUUUCUAAAGCGAGAAAAAUAUCUAGAAACUUCCAAAAAUUUCGAGAUAAAUCUCAAAGUUGAAUUGGGACACAAGGAAUCCAAAUAAAAUACUUGAAGCUUGUGAAAAGGAUUCUAGAGCCUUCCAAAAAUUGGAUUUAGCUCUGAGAAAAUGAGAAUAAAUUCCAGAAAAUUCUUGGAAGAGUGUGGACAACGUCUAAGCGCAUUUUUGAAACUUUUGCACUCAUGAAACACUAAGAUGCAUCAGCAUGAAUGCACAGAUAUAGAACAACAUUAUUUAAUUUAGAAAAGCAAACAAUUAUUUUCCUAUACUAAACUUUCUGUAAAGAAAAAUAAAUGUUAGGAAAAUUUUAAAAUUAUAAGAAAAUUAUUAUUUAAUUAUUCCUUUUAAUCACAUCCUGAAAUUCGGAAAUUUUAGGGUGUAACAAUGGAGAGGGGUAUAGAUGUCUAGAUGACAAGACCUACGUUGACAGCUAACUACUGGUCCCGUCUCGUAUCUGUGCAAUGUGACCUGUGAUGACACCAAAUCUUUUUUUACUUGCAUCCAUUACUGGUAGUCUCUGAUAAAUUCAUCUCAAGUCCUAUACUGAACAAUGAGGGGUUUGCGGAAGUCGUAAGUCACCACCGUAGUCUUGAAGUUUGCAGUUUGUAAAUCUGAUCUAUGUAUGAUACAAGUGUAGUUUGGAGCACUUCAGGUGUGGCUUAACGGCCAGCACUCAGUUAUAAAGUGCAGCAACAUUGUAUUUGCUGUUCUAGUCUGUAGUUCGGCCCAAAGCAGUGCUCUGUUUCCUGGGGGUGAGGCUGACUAUUUACAUGUGUAGUUUGGAGCAGUUCUGAGACAACACUAGACAAGUUAAACCCAAAAUUUUGGAGCAUGUUACUGGAAACAAAGAAAAGUACACUUUCAAUACGAACUGUCUUACUCCAUUUUACAGCUUAAAUGACGAAUAGUUAAAGAAUCAACUGAACGUAACAGCAUAUUGUAAGGCACUAAUCUGAUACCUCCACACCGUCACCCCACAUCAUACCUCAAACUUAUUCAAGUUUAUUAUGAGUAUAGUAUCUUUACAUCAGUACGUAUAAAAACUCCAGCACUAGAGAACAGCAUAAUGCAAGAAAGUAAGAAACGGAAUUCCUAACUAUCACUCAAGUAAAAUUCUGCUAUGCGCGUGAAUCCUUUUUUUUUGUCUUUUCUUUUUUUAGAGGCGUGAAUCGAUUUUUUCAGUCCGAUCUGUUGUUCUUGUGCGCCCGUUCGAGCCUCUUCUACGGCCCAGUUUUGCAACGCUCUUCACGGAUACCAACCCAGUUAUUUUCAGCCUGCCACUCGGGCUUUUCUUCACGUGGACUCUAUAAUAGUCACGUCAUGCCUCUAAAAUAACAGAAAACUAUAACUUCUACAAGCUUUUUUUUUAGCAUAACUCCCAGUAUUUAGUAGUUUCGUAAUCAAUAUAUUGAUAGGAGAGCCAGGAGGGACGACAUAUGUUUGGGGUAGCAGCACAUCUAAUCAGAGUCAUCUACGUUCACGCGUUCAUACCGGAUCGGAGACGCGACGGGAAAGUCGGAUCAAACUUGGUUAGAAGUCGAGGUGGGGUCCACAUGUCAAUAAUUGAAGUUGGACCAAAUCAAAAAAUUUAGGCAGAAGCAUUGCUUAUUAUGUAAGAUUGAAUCAAUAAAACUCGCCAUGAUGGCUUUCCCUCGGAAAAGAAUGAUAUAAUUUUUUGUGUGUGCCUUAUAAUAAAUAGUACAUAGACAAAAAUAAAUUAAUAUGGAAAAUUGUCGGAUUAGGCCACAUUGUUGCGUUAAAGUUUCUUUUAGAAAAAUACAUGGGUGUCUGGCAGCACUCCACUCCAAAAAACAGUUCCACUUCACUAGCUCCACAAAAUUGCCUGCCAAACACGUUCAGCUCCACAAACUCCAGCUCCAGAAAAAACGUGAAGCUAGGGUCAGAUCCACAUUUUUCCUGGAGUACCUUAGGGGUGCUCCAAAAACAUUAAUUUCAGACUUCCUCGUGGAGUUGGGGGUUAUUUACCCAUCUUUGCCACUCGUUACACAACACCUAAUUUUUCCUUUCCGCUCACUAUCUCCGUUUCCUCCCUCUAGCCAUCCCUUACCAGCACCGCGCCAUCCUCGCCAGUCGACGCUGCGCUGCCCACGUGGCCCUUGCCCAACGGAGCUGCGCUAGUGCGCUACCGACGCCACCGUCACCCUCCGGAGCUGCACCGUCCUCACCCUCCUUAGCCGUGGCCACGCUGCCCCUGCUCGCCGCCCCUGCCCAUGUCGGUCGCAUGGCCCCUGCUCGUCGGACCUCGCCGCCCCCACCCACUGGGGCCGCGGGGUUGCGCCCUCUUGCUGGCCGGAGCUGCGCCGCCAUCAUUGCUGCCGGAGAGGACGAGGCGGCGGCGCUGCUCGCCUUCAGGCGGGCGUUGGUGGUGGACGACCCGUGCGACGCGCUCGCUGGCUGAGCCCACGCGAACUCCACUGCGACGCUAUGCUUGUGGGUCGGCAUCUCGUGCGCAUCGCCGCCCGACAGCCGUGUUGUCACCCUCAACCUCAACGGCAUGGCACCCACCUGCUAGCUCUGGCCCGACGCUCCCCGCGGCUGGCUGGUGCUAGCCGGCCGUGGGGGCGCCGGGGCUACAGGCACGCUGCUGCUGCUGGCCGGCCACGGGUGGCCGGGCAACAACCGAUCUAGAGAGGACGGCGGCAGUGGUGGGGACAAGGCGCCGCCCAUGGCGUGGAGCUCAGGAUCUGAAAAAGAGAAAGGGGCGAAGAGGAAGGGAGAACAUAGAAGAGGCUGACACGUGGACCCAUUUACAAAGGGUAAAAUAGAUUAUUCACAACAAGUCUUCAUGUUUGUGGAGCUACCGCACUGCAAUCAGCCAAACACGUACAAUAACUUUAGUAUUUUUGUGGAGUUAGGGCCUGUUUGGGAGCACUCCACUUCAGAAAAACCAGCUCCACUCCACUAGCUCCACACUUUCCUAGCUCCACUCCACCAACUCUAAAAAAAUAUGGAGCUGCUGCACGUGUUUGGCUGAUGGCAGUGCUCCAGCUCCAAAAAUAUGAGCACUUGUUGUGAAUGGUCUAUUUUACCCUUUGUGAACGGACCCACAUGUCAUACUCUUCUAUUUUCUCCUCUGUUCUUCCUCUCUCUCCUCUCCUCUUCUCUUCUCAGUUUCCAGAGGGAUCUCCAGCUUCAGGGAGCCGUCCAUGGCCUGCGCCUGCUCGAUGAACACGGAUGGCCGCCGCGGGGGAGGUCGCCCCGGCCGCGCCGCCGUGGGGGAGCUCGGCGGGCGGGCGCGCGGCGGGCAUGCGGCGUAGCGGGCAGGCGAACGGCGGGCGGGCGGCGAGAUCGGGCAGGGGCGCCUGGGGCUGGGGCAACACGCGGCUUGCCGGCGUUCAGGCAAGGGGCUGGCGCGGGCGGGGCUCCGACGGGCGAGCACGGCGUCGCCAGCGGGCGGCCGGCCGGCGGCGAGCCACGGCCGGGCGCGACCACAACCAGGGGAAAGAGAAGGGGCGAGUGACAGGAGCAGGAGUCACGGGAUGUUUUCUUUUCUGAGCGAACCGGUACGUGUGUAACCGAUGACAGUGGUGGGUAAAUACCCACCAACUCCACGAGGAGGUUUGAAAAGGGAGUUUUUGGAGCACCCCCUGAGGUACUCCACAAAAAACGUGGAUCUGACCCCCUGCUCCACCUUUUUCCUGGAGCCGGAGUCGCUGGAGCUAGAUGCGUUUGGCUGCGAAAUUUUUAGAGUUGGUGAAGUGGAGCUUAGGUGGAGUAGAGUUGGUGGAGUGGAGUUAUAAAAUUUUUAGUGGAGUGUUGCCAAACACCCGAGUAUGAAUCCAAAUCUGAGAACAAUCGUGACACGAAAGAGAAAGGAAGGAAUUGUUAUUUGAACGUUCUAUAAUAACAUAUUAAAAUAUAAUUAAAAGAAAAUAAAAGGAAAAAGGAGCGGUCAACCGUGGAGCCCUUCGUUCGGUCGUUCCUAGCAUCGGGUCCAUCGCGUGGACUCGGCCUUUUCUUCACGUGGACUCUAAUAGUCACGUCAUGUCUCUAAAAUAAUGGAAACCUAUAACUUCUACAAGCUUCUUUUUAUUUUAGCAUAACUUCUAGUAUUUAAGAUCCGUGCUAUAGCAUAUUGAUAGGAUGGUUAAGAACCAUACAUAAAUACCUCAUCUCCCAAGCCUACUAUAAAUAAAUAUCUAACCUCAUUAGCUAUUCGAAAUGAUGUAUCACGGUCCGUAGAUUGUUGAAUUAGUUGUGCGAAAAUGUUGAAACAGGCAGCAGCCAGUCGGACUACCAAUCCUGCCUGCCGCCUCCUGCGCAUAUCCGUGAGAUAGGAGAGAGCAUGAGAGAGAUGACAGGAUGUGGAUGGAGGUCCGGCAAACGUUGGAGAAGAUGCGGCGCUAAUCUACUGAGACCCCACAGCUCGAAAUUGCUACAGUCCUCGUGACGUGGCACUAUGGACACCGUGGGUUGGGACUGCGCUACCGGCUUGCGAGGAGGAUGCAGUGGCUUGGUCAGUCUUGGUCUCUUGGAGGCUGGCGACGCGGCACGGUCACCGAACUUUCGUCCAGCUGGAUGGUCGUCAACAAGCUGAACUUGGAAGAAGACCUCAUUGACUUGGUGACUUGGCAAUUAGAGACUUGCGAGACUGAAUCGGUAUUUUAAAUAGCCUUGUCAUUACGCGCUGCAUCAAGGAGCACAGAGCCAAGCUAUGCGGACAGCCAUGGAGCACCAUUGCUCCAUCCUACUCGUAGCCUCCCUCCUCCUUGCAUCUCCAGCAUGGACAUCGGCCUCCGGCGCUGACCACCGUGCACUCAUGCGGUUCCGGUCCCUCAUCACGGACGACCCAUACGGGGCCUUGGCAUCAUGGGGUGGCGGCAACAUGACCGCGCCGGCGCCGUGCGGAUGGCACGGCAUCACGUGCGGGGUGCGCGGGCGCCGCCGCGGCCGCGUGACAGCGCUGGACCUCCGCGGGCUCGGCCUGGCCAGCUCCGGCACCGCGGCUCCUUUAUCCCUCUCGGGCCUCACCUACCUCCGGCGACUCGACCUCGCCGGGAACCGCCUCGGCGGUGGCAUGCCCUCCCCGUUGCCGCCCUCCCUCGAGCACCUCAAUCUCAGCCACAACGCGCUGCAGGGGCCGGUGCCCUCAGCGCUGGGGUCACUGCACCGCCUCCAGAAGCUCAGUCUCAGCUACAACAACCUCACCGGAGCAAUCCCUGCCUCCCUUGGCAACCUCACCUCCCUCACCAUCCUCAGCCUCGCCAUCAACAACCUUGCCGGCGCCAUCCCUGGCGCUCUCGGCAACCUCAAAGCUCUCACCCGCCUCUACCUCUCCAGCAAUAACCUCACCGGAGCAAUCCCUGCCUCCCUUGGCAACCUCACCUCCCUCACCAUCCUCGGCCUCGCCAGCAACAACCUCGCCGACGCCAUCCCUGGCACUCUCGGCAACCUCAAAGAUCUCACCGGCCUCUACCUCAACCAGAACAUGCUCCAAGGAUCCAUACCUUCCGCCAUGUUUAACAUCUCCUCUCUCCAGGAACUUCACGUGUGGAUGAACAACCUCACCGGUGCCAUCCCGCCGUCGCUCUGCAACGCCUCCAAGCUGGAGGUGGCACGGAUGGCGGAGAAUUCCUUCUCCGGAGUCAUACCGGACUGCCUUGGAACUCACCUCAAGAACUUGCAGGUACUGAUGCUGAACUCCAACCGGCUGGAAGCAAAUGUUGAUGCUGACUGGGGAUUCAUGGAUAGUCUGACCAACUGCAGCAAUCUGAAGGUCAUUGACCUGGCUGAAAACAAGCUGGGAGGUGUGCUUCCUGGCUCGAUCGCAAACCUUUCGACGAGCAUGGAGUACUUGAGCAUAAGUAACAACAUGGUAAGUGGGCAAAUACCUCAAGAAAUCGGCAACCUUGUCAACUUGAAGAGAAUUUAUAUGGAUCUCAAUAACCUUACUGGUAUUAUCCCUUAACAAGCUGGGCAACCUUCUCUUGUUCGGCAACAAGCUAUUCCUUGAGGACAACAUGCUCACGGGUCCCAUUCCUUCCAGUCUUGGUAGUUGCCCUUUGCAGUCGCUGUCCCUGGAGCACAAUCGCCUUACUGGUCCAAUACCAAAAGAAAUUCUCCUCAUAUCCACGCUUUCCGACUACGCGACUUUCCAAGAGAACAUGCUAACUGGAUCGUUGCCAUCGGAAGUUGGUCACCUGAAAAAUCUUGUGACCCUUGAUGUAUCUGGAAAUAGGUUAACCGGGGAAAUCCCCAACUCUCUUGGCGAUUGCCAAAUCUUCCAGUCUUGCAGUAUGAAAGGGCACAUGUUUCAAGGGAAAAUUCCAGAGUCAUUGGGACAACUGAAGGCCCUCUUGGUUCUUGAUCUUUCAAGAAACAACUUGUCUGGUCAUAUUCCAGACUUCUUUGGUAACAUGGAAGGUCUUGAACAACUGGAUAUCUCCUUCAAUAACUUUGACGGUGAAGUCCCAAAGCACGGAAUAUUUCUUAACACUAGCGCGUUUUCAUUUGAGGGAAACUCUGGCCUCUGUGGAGGUAUUGCUCAGCUGAAAUUGCCACCUUGCUCAGAUAAUGGCAGUACUAGCAACAAUAAGCGAUCACACAAACUUGUCAUGAUAGUCUCCAUAGCCACUGCCUUUCUAGGCAUCUCCCUGCUGCUUGCACUAUGUGUAUUAUGUCAUCAAAGAAGGAAGUUGAUAAAGGCAGAACAUGCCUUACCACUCAUCAAUGAUCAGUAUGUAAGGGUUUCAUAUGUCAACUUGCUGAAUGCAACAAAUAGUUUUGCUUCUGAAAACCUCAUAGGCAUUGGAAGCUUCGGCACUGUUUACAGGGGAACAAUGAUAAGCCAUGACCAAGAAGUUGUUGUCGCUGUGAAGGUGCUCAACCUUCAGCAGCGAGGGGCGUCACAAAGUUUCAUUGCAGAAUGUGAGACUCUGAGAUGUGCUCGACAUCGGAACCUUGUGAAAAUCUUGACGGUGUGUUCAAGUAUUGAUUCCGGUGGCCUUGAUUUCAAAGCUAUUGUAUUUGAUUUCCUACCAAAUGGAAAUCUAGACCAGUGGCUACACCGUCUCAGGGAACAAGGCACCCAUAGUAGGAUUGAUCUUGUCCAACGGAUAGACAUUGCCAUUCAUGUCGCUUCCGCACUUGAAUAUCUUCACCACUAUAAACCAACCCCAAUAGUUCAUUGUGAUCUCAAGACAAGCAAUAUUUGUUAGACUCGGCCUAGGAUCUCUAGAUGCAUAUCUAGUCGGGAUCACAAUGAACAUAGGUUCGAGGGGUUUCUUGUGGCAACCGAGAGUGAUAGAGAGAGAGAGGUAGGGGUACCUUCACCCCUAGGGGUGGAAGCAGCAGAGCUGCUGGCCAUCGCUGGUUCUGUUGUUGAAGAUCUGCGCAAGGCAGCGACGCGCAGUGCAAUUGCCUUGCCGGCGCGGCGGCGGUGGUGCUUCCUGCCGCUACUGCGCAAGACCUAGAUCAGUAGGUGUGUCGGUGGGGCGGCUGGCUGCGGCGAACCUCUUGAGCCGAGCCGUGGCCCCCACCCUGUUUAUAUAGCGCAGCGCGAUAGGGGCCCACCACCCAAUGCUAGGGUGAGCGCCCCCGAUCAGGGCACGGAUCAGGGUCCCGAUGGGCCUUUGGGCCCAUUGGGGAGGAGAUCAAUCUAACAGUCUCCCCCUUGAUCUCAUCAUUUACUUUUAACUUUACACUUUUCGCUUUUAUUCGUUUCAUCGUAGAUUAAUAUGUAGAGCAUGCCUCAUCGUCACAGCUCAAUCGCCGAUAGAAUCAACAGCUACAACACACCUCUCUAUUUUGAAACAAUUCUUUUUCUUUUGGGCCUUUUACAAUCCAUGAAUCAUAGGCUUUCCCUUAAACCCAUGCCAGCUAAGUGUUCUCUGAACACAUUGGGUGGUAAGCCUUUCGUGAGCGGAUCCGCUAGCAUAUCUUUUGUUCUUAUAUGCUCGAGACUUAUAGUGCGAUCCUGGAUUCUGUCUUUCACAACAUAAAACUUUAUCUCAAUGGUUUUGGAAGCAUUGCUUGAUUUGUUGUUGUGAGCAUAGAAUACUGCUGGCUCAUUGUCGCAGUACAUCUUUAGUGGUCUGUGAAUACAGUCAACCACUCUCAAUCCGGGUAUAAAUUUCUUUAACCACAUCGCCUGCCCCAUGGCCUCAUGACAUGCUAUGAAUUCUGCAUGCAUCGUUGAUGACGCAGUUACUUUCUGUUUUGAGCUUCUCCACGAGAUAGCUCCUCCUGCGAGAGUGAACACGUAUCCAGACGUGGAUUUUCUAUCAUCUUUAUCUCCCGCAAAAUCUGCAUCUGAAUACCCUUUUAUCUCUAGGGAAUCAGAUCUCUUAUAUGUAAGCAUGAGUUCUUUUGUGCCUUGCGCGUAACGCAAUGCUUUCUUUACCAUCUUCCAGUGUUCUACACCUAGAUUACUUUGAUAUCUACCAAGAACCCCGGUGGCAAAAGCAAAGUCAGGGCGAGUGCAUACUUGAGUAUACUGUAGGCUUCCGACAGCUGAAGCAUAUGGAACCGCUUUCAUUUGAUCGAUCUCGUUAUGCGGACAAGGAGCUGUUAGGGCCUAGCCUAGGAUCACUAGAGCUCAUCUAGUCGGGUUCGAGAGAAACAUGAGGGGCAAGGGGUUCCUGGUGAGUGCCUAGUGUGAGAGAGGAGAGUAAAGGGGUACCUUCACCCCUAGGGGUGGGAGCAGCAGAGCUGCUGGCCAUCGCUCGUUCUGUUGACGGAGUCUGCGCUAGGCAGCGACGCGCAGUGCCGAGCUUGGUCGGCGGCGAAGUGGCGGUGGAACUUCCCGCCGCUACUGCGCAACCUAGAUCGGUAGGUGUGUCGGUGGGGGCGGCUGGCUUCGGCGAACCUCGUGAGCCGAGCCGGGUCCCCCACCCUGUUUAUAUAGCGCAGCGCGACAGGGGCCCACCACCCAUUGAUAGGGUGAGUGCCCCCGAUCAGGGCGCAGAUCAAGGUCCUGAUUGGCCGUUGGGCCAAUCGGGAAAGAGAUCAAUCUAACAUUCUCCCCCUUGAUCUCAUCAUUUACUUUUAGCUUUGCACUUUUCACUUUUAUUCGUUUCAUCGUAGAUUAAUAUGUAGAGCAUGUUUCAUCGUCACAGCUUGAUUGCCGAUAGAAUUAACAGCUACAACACAUCUCUCUAUUUUGAAACAAUUCUGUUUCUUUUGGGCCUUAUUCAAUCCAGGAAUCAUAGGCUUUCCCUUAAACCCAUGCCGGCUAAGUGUUCCUUGAACACAUUGGGAGGUAAGCCUUUCGUGAGCGGAUCCGCAAGCAUAUCUUUUGUUCUUAUAUGCUCGAGACUUAUAGUGUGAUCCUGGAUUCUGUCUUUCACAACGUAGAACUUUAUCUCAAUGGCUUUGGAAGCAUUGCUUGAUUUGUUGUUGUGAGCGUAGAAUACUGCUGGUUCAUUAUCGCAGUACAUAUUUAGUGGUCUGUGAAUACAGUCAACCACUCUCAAUCCGGGUAUGAAUUUCUUUAGCCACAUUGCCUGCCCCGUGGCCUCAUGACAUGCUAUGAAUUCUGCGUGCAUCGUCGAUGACGCAGUUACUUUCUGUUUUGAGCUUCUCCAUGAGAUAGCUCCUCCUGCGAGAGUGAAUACGUAUCCAGACGUGGAUUUUCUAUCAUCCUUGUCUCCCGCAAAGUCUGCAUCUGAAUACCCUUUUAUCUCUAGGGAAUCAGAUCUCUUAUAUGUAAGCAUGAGUUCUUUUGUGCCUUGCGCGUAGCGCAACGCCUUCUUUACCAUUUUCCAGUGUUCUAUACCUGGAUUACUUUGAUAUCUACCGAGAACCCCGGUGACAAAAGCUAAGUCAGGGCGAGUGCACACUUGGGCAUACUGUAGGCUUCCGACAGCUGAAGCAUAUGGAACCGCUUUCAUUUGAUCGAUCUCGUACUGGUUCCUGGGACAUUGAAAAUUCCCAAAACUGUCGCCCUUGACUAUAGGAGCAGGUGUGGCUUUACUCGCAUGCAUAUUGUACUUCUUUAGAACCUUUUCUAAAUAUGCCUUUUGCGAUAACCCUAGAACCCCAUUCAAUCUAUCUCGGUGAAUUUCUAUGCCCAAAACAUAUGUUGCUUCACCAAGAUCCUUCAUAUCGAAGUUUGAGGACAAGAACUUCUUUGUCUCUUGUAGUAGACUGAUAUCACUGCUUGCAAGCAAAAUAUCAUCCACAUACAGGAUUAGGAAAAUGUAUUUCCCAUUUUUGAACUUUGCAUAGACACAAUUGUCCUCUAUAUUCUCUUGAAACCCAAAUUUCUUUAUUAUAUCAUUAAACUUUAGAUACCACUGUCUAGAGGCUUGCUUUAAUCCGUAAAUGGAUUUCUUUAGACGACAUCCCAUAUGCUCUUUGUCUUCCAUGACAAAACCCUUUGGUUGUUUCAUAUAGACGUUUUCUUCUAAAUCCCCAUUUAGAAAUGCCGUCUUUACAUCCAUCUGAUGUAACUCUAAAUCAAAAUGCGCAACUAGUGCCAUUAUGAUUCUGAAGGAGUCUUUACAUGAGACAGGAGAAAAAGUCUCAUUAUAAUCUAUUCCUUCUCUUUGUGUAAAACCUUUUGCCACAAGUCUCGCCUUAUAUCUUUCUAUGUUCCCUUUGGAGUCACGUUUAGUCUUGUAGACCCAUUUACAGCCUACUGUUUUGGCUCCUUUAGGAAUCUCCUCAAGUUCCCAAACAUUGUUGGAACUCAUCGAUUUCAUCUCAUCUUCCAUGGCCUCUAGCCACUUCGAUGAGUGAACACUUUUCAUGGCUUCUUCAUAUGAAGUGGGAUCACCUUCUAUAUGAACUUCUUCUGUAUUAUAAACUUUAUAACAAUCAGGGAUGGCUGAUUUUCUGACCCUUUGAGACCUUCUAGGCCCCUCACUUUCAGGCAUAUUCUGUGCCUCUGCUUGUGGCACACUAUUCUGAGGUGGCUGCUGUAACUCUUCCUCGUGUGCAACAAUGGGUUCGGUUGGCUCCUGAAGGACAGGUUCCAAAACUUCACUCAUCGUUUCCACGGGUGGAAUCACAGUAGGUGCCUGCACCACAAUAUCAGGGACUGUAGCAGGUGCUUGCACCACGACCUCAGGAACUAUCGGUGCGGGAACAAUAGGUAGUGAGAAGUAUGGUUCCUGAAUCAUCGGAUUAGGUGCACACACCCGCUUCUCCUCAAGAUCAAUUUCUCGAGCUACCAUGCUCCCCCUCACCAUUUCAUCCUCUAAGAAAAUCGCCUGUCUCGUUUCUACAAACUUUGUGAAUCUGUCUGGACAGUAGAAACGAAAACCCUUUGAUUUUUCCGGGUAGCCGAUGAAGUGGCAACUAACUGUUUUGGGAUCUAGUUUCCCGAUGUUUGGGUUAAACACUUUGGCCUCAGCUGGGCUCCCCCACACACGUAAGUGGUUUAGUGAGGGUACUCUUCCUGUCCAUGGUUCGUACGGUGUUUUGGGCACCGACUUACUUGGAACUCUAUUAAGAAUGUGAAUAGCGGUCUUCAGUGCCUCCAUCCACAGUCCCAAUGGUAAGGUGGAAUAGCUCAUCAUGCUGCGCACCAUAUCCAUCAGUGUACGGUUACGCCUUUCAGCUACUCCAUUUUGCUGAGGUUCGCCCGGCAUUGAAUACUGGGCUACUAUGCCAUUUUCCUGCAAGAACCUUGCAAAGGGUCCAGGAACUUGGCCGAAUGGGGUAUGCCGACCAUAGUACUCCCCCCCACGGUCGGAUCUUACUAUUUUGAUUCUUUUGUUGUGCUGAUUUUCAACUUCAGCUUUAAAUAUCUUAAAUUUAUCCAACGCUUCUGAUCUUUCUUUGAUAGGAUAAAUAUAACCGUAACGGGAGUAAUCAUCUGUGAAUGUUAUGAACAAGUCAUAGCCAUCCACACUUUUCACAGGAAAAGGUCCACAAAUAUCAGUGUGGAUUAUCUCUAAAAUUCCUGUGCUACGUUUAGCGCCUUUUUUAAUUUGCUUUACAAAUUUUCCUUUAAUGCAAUCAACGCAUUGUUCUAAGUCUGAGAACUCUAAUUGAGGAAGAAUUUCAUUCUUAACUAAUCUUUCUAUUCUCCCCCUCGAAAUAUGGCCUAAACGACAGUGCCAUAAUUUCGACGAUGUUUCAUGAGUUCUCUUUCUUUUCUUUGUUUCUUUCUCUGACGAGGAUACAUUCAUAUUCACAUCACACACAGAAUUAACUUUUUCACGUAAUGAUAAUAAAUACAAUUCAUUGUGAAGGAUGGCAACACCAACACAUGCAUUAUCGAACCAAAUGGCACACUUUCCAUUACCAAAAUGACAUUCAUAACCAUCAUGGUCCAAACGUGAAAUACUUAUUAAGUUUCUGUGUAAUGAGGGAACAUAAAGCACAUCUUUAAGUACAAGCAUGAAACCAUCAACUAGCUCUAAAGAGACAUCGCCAACAGCUUCAACUUCUGCUUGGACUCCAUUUGCGACUUCAACGCAUCUUUCGCUUCUUUGCGUAGUCCUCGUCGAAUGGAAUCCCUGUAAAGAAUUUGCAACAUGAACAGUUGCACCUGAGUCAAUCCACCAAGUAGAUUUCGAAUACUGUGUAUACAAGGAUUCAUUUACAAAAGAAAUAGUGUUCUCACCUCUUUUUGCCAUUAUUGACUUUAACCAGUCGGGGCAGUCUUUCUUGAAGUGCCCCUUUUUCUUGCAAUGUAGACAUUGGUCUUUGUCUACUGGGAGAAGCUUUUGGUGAUUCUGCUGCAUAGGAGCUUUUCCACGUGCCUUGAAAGAGGGGUUAGCAAUCUUUUUUCUGUUAUCCUUCACAUAGUGUAAUGAACCACCAUGUGAGGAUCUAAGUCUGUCCUCUUCCUGCACGCACAUGGCGAUCAUUUUCUCCAUGUCCCACUGUUCUGGCUGCAUGUUGUAAUUGACAACAAAAGUGUCAAACUCUUUAGGCAGAGAAGCAAAAACCAAAUGCAUAAUGUGCCCAGGCUUGAGCUCAAGAUCCAUAGGCUUCAGCUGCGCUGCCAAGUUAUACAUCCUCAUGAUGUGGUCUCUUAUGCCAGUCCCUCCGCCAUUGUACCUCUCUGUGGCCAGCUGCUUAAACAGCUGGGUAGCAUAUAUCUUUGAGGAACCAGUGAACUGAUUCCUUAUCUUGUCGAGGUACUCUGAAACGGAGUCACACUCUGUGAUCGAGCCCAAAAUGGCAGGCUCAAUCGUAUUCUUUACCAAAGCCAUACAUUUCUUGUUGGCAGUGGUCCACUGUUUAUUCUCAAGGGUGUAUGCCAACUCCAGUGGAGCAUAGUCCCUCUCCUUUUGCUGCCAUGCAGCAUCAUCAUCACCAUCAGCCCUCACUGGCUUCUGUGGAGCUUGUGGCUGCGGUGUGGUCAGCACCCAGUCAACUUCUCCACAAACGAAGGAGAACUCAAUCUUCUUCCUCCAUUCUGUGUAGUUGUUGCCUUUGAGAAUGGGUAUCUCUUUGAGACACGCCAUUAAGUUGAAUGAUCCUGAAAUUCACAAUCCAUAAGUGAGAUCAUAACGACAAUUGCAUGAUUCAUUUCCAACGUUGGUCAAAAAAUAAAACAUACAACUGUUGAUGCAAUUUAAAACUAUAUCACCGUUGGGCAGAAAUAGAAAUAAAGGCAUCAAAAUAACUUUUUAAAUCAUGAUACAGUUAUUAACAACGUUGGUCAAAAAAUAACAGUACCAUGAUCUAAUUAACUUUAUCAUGCUCUCACAAAAUUUAAUUAUCUCGUUGGUUCAAAUUAAAUUGAAAUAGAGCAAUAAUUAUGACUUUUGCAGCGGAAACUGUGAAAUAAAUCUAUUUUCAGAAGCAAAACACUGUACAAAACUUUAUUAAUCUCUAAUACAAAUUAUCUCGUUGGUUCAAAUUGAAUUAGAGACUAAAACUGUGCAAAAACCAUUAAUUAAAAGCUUCUGGAAAUAGAAAAAACAAAAAAACAAAGGUUACUAUUCAAAACGCGAAAACCGGCCCACGCGCGAAAACGGCCCACAGCCCGUUCCCGCGCGCGGCCCGCUCGCGCGACGCCGGCGGCCCGCGAAACGCGACGCAGGCGGCCCGCGAAACGACGCAGGCGGCCCGCUAACGCGGCCUGCUAAAACCGGCUCGUCGCCAGCCUAGCGCGCGGCGCGCGCGGCUGCAGGCCGCAACCUGGGCCUGGGCCGCGAAAGCGGCCUGCCGCCGCGUCCCGCCUGGGCCAAAACUGGCCCGGAUGAUCUCAACCGUCCGUGUGAAAUCGACGGCCGAGCGUCAUUUUCGGCGGAUCAAAACCGGCGGAGCGCCGGCUCCCCUGGAAACCCUAGUCACUUUCCUUCUUUCCCCCGGCGCGCGUCUCUCCGCUCGCUCUCGCCGCGGCGGCGGCGGCGGGGCUUUCUCUCCCGCGCCCGGCGAUGGCCGACGGCGGCGGUGGAGGGAUGGCCCCGCCGGCGCACGGCCGCGGCAGCCCCCUCCUCCCCCCCUUUUCUUUUCUAUCCUUCCCCCUUCUUCUCUCCAAAGAAAUCCGAGAGUUCGAGAUCUAGGGUUAGAUCUAGAUGAAGAAGAAGAAGGGGCCGGCGCCACCGCGGGCCCCCUCGCCGGCGCGCGUGUCCUCCCCGAGGGUUGGGCGCGCCGCCGUCGAGCGGUCCCGUAGUGGUGCUUGUGCGCCCCCCCGGGCCCCGAGCGGAAGCUCCGGCGGCUCGGGUGAGCCUUUUUCCGGCGAGCCCGAGGCUCGGCCGGCCUUUGCCACUCGCCGGCGAUGGCCGGCGGCGGUGAAGGCGACAGUAGGUAAGUGGUCCCGUGUCUCCCUUGCUUUAGAUCUAGGGUUAGGGUUAGGGAUUCGUUUCUGUUGCUUUUCUUUCUUCUUCUUUUUCUCGAUCUACUGCUUUUCCCGAUCUAGAAAAACUUCUAGGAGGUGUCUGAUACCAAUGUUAGGGCCUAGCCUAGGAUCACUAGAGCUCAUCUAGUCGGGUUCGAGAGAAACAUGAGGGGCAAGGGGUUCCUGGUGAGUGCCUAGUGUGAGAGAGGAGAGUAAAGGGGUACCUUCACCCUAGGGGUGGGAGCAGCAGAGCUGCUGGCCAUCGCUCGUUCUGUUGACGGAGUCUGCGCUAGGCAGCGACGCGCAGUGCCGAGCUUGGUCGGCGGCGAAGUGGCGGUGGAACUUCCCGCCGCUACUGCGCAACCUAGAUCGGUAGGUGUGUCGGUGGGGGCGGCUGGCUUCGGCGAACCUCGUGAGCCGAGCCGGGUCCCCCACCCUGUUUAUAUAGCGCAGCGCGACAGGGGCCCACCACCCAUUGAUAGGGUGAGCGCCCCCGAUCAGGGCGCAGAUCAAGGUCCUGAUUGGCCGUUGGGCCAAUCGGGAAAGAGAUCAAUCUAACAGGAGCUACACCAGUGGCUACACCACCGUCUCAAGGAACAAGGCACCCAUAGUAGGAUUGAUAUUGUCCAACGGAUAGACAUUGCCAUUCAUGUCGCUUCUGCACUCGAAUAUCUUCACCACUAUGAACCAACCCCGAUAGUUCAUUGUGAUCUCAAGCCAAGCAAUAUUCUCCUUGACAAUGACAUGGUUGCCCAUGUUGGUGAUUUUGGGCUCGCAAGAUUUGUGCAUCAAGACCAGACUAACCCCUCAGAUAUAUCAAGUGGUUGGGCUACGAGAAGGGGAACCACUGGAUAUGCUCCUCCAGGUCAGGUUCUAACAAGUACACUGCAUUUUACUUUCAUGAUUGGUUGAAAAUUGAAAUCCACAAGCAAGUAAAAUGCAUUGCUCCUUUUUCUAUCAUUUAACAUUGUAACUGUAGAAUUGCUGAUAGUCUUCUUUUAAUUGCUGAAUAUGUGUGUUCCAAACAGAGUAUGGACUGGGUAACGGAGUCUCAAUCUAUGGUGACAUGUACAGCUUCGGAGUACUAUUGUUGGAAAUUUUCACAGGAAAAAGACCAACAGAUAGCGACUUCGUGCAAGACCUCAACCUUCAUAGGUACGUGCAAAUAGCACUGCAAGAUCAGCAAGUCACCAGUGUGGUAGACCAACAGUUACUGCCAGUACAAGAUCCGGAACUCGAAGGGAGAACAAGCAGCUCCAGUAGCACCAGAGAAAUUAUAGUUGCCUGUGUUACUUCAAUUCUGCAGAUCGGACUUCUGUGCUCGAAGGAACUUCCAAAAGACCGCUUGCUGAUUGGUGAUGCCUUGAGAGAGCUUCAGAGAAUCAAAGACAAUUAUAACCAGUUGCACUUAUUAAGUACAUAGAACUUUCUGAAACACAGGAUUUCCAUAUCCAGAACCAUUUUACAGUAUUCCGUGAUCAGAACAGAUACCAGGUCCUUGACUGCACUCAACCAAGUGUUGCGCUUUUUACUUUUAAAAAGACAUGAAAGCAUAAGAUUGACGUUGCAUACACAAUGGAUGCCAGUAUCGCAUCCACCUGCACGUCAGGGUUGAUAUGAAAAGAGAAUGAUUUUAAUAUAUGAUGUGGCCCAUGUAAUUAAAGAGAAUGAUUUUCAUAUGAAAAGAUCGCAGUGUGUGUUUCUUUGAAGAUCUAUUAAUGUUUUACUCCAAUUAUUAAGAGAUAUGUUGUUUUGCUAUCUACAUAAUACAUACUCAUAAGGCAACUUUUUGCAUCCAACUUCUACUCUGGCAUUAUCCGGUUAUGCCUGUCAUCAGGCAAUCUGCAGAAAUAGAUGAAUGGUAUAAAUGGAGGGAAAACAGAGGUAAAGCUCUUGUUCCAAACCAAUAAUAAACUGUUCAGCAACCAAAACAUGCAUAAUGCAUUGUUACAUUUUUAAAAGAAAUGAUGCAUCAUUAUGGAUUCUACUGGCUGCAGGCAUGUUUAACCAAUACUACAUUUUCGUCUUCACCAAUUCACUUUGUUCUCAUGAACUUUUGAGUAAGAUCUUUGAGCGCUUGCCUCGAGUUAAGCACAACUUGAUCCUCGCUAUCAGGAAGAUCAUCGAUAGCGCCCGCUGCCAGUUUUGCAUGUUCAGCAGCAACAGACCUCGUCCUCUCGAUUCCCUGACUUUUUGAAAGGUAUUUGAGGGCAAAAUUGAGCAGUUCUGAGACCACACUAGACAAUUUAUGAGCAUUUCACAACCCAAAUAGUUGCAUUAUAUUACUGGAAACAAAGAAAAGUACACUUUCCUUUCAAAAAAAAAUACACUUGCAAUACGUACCGUCUUAUAACAUUUAAAGGGUCAUCAAAUCCCUGUUCAACAAUCUCAUGCAGUUCAGGGAAUUCUUCCAUCGCAAAAAGUAUGGGAGCUAUCACAAUUCCCUGUCCAUACAGGGCAUAUAUGAUUCCUUACAUGUCAUUGAUAUCUUAAAAAGUAAAAUACUACUGAGGAAAUAUUGAGUGAAUAACUGUAUUACUUGAUGGAUAUCAGACAAGGAGGCUUUGCCUUGGGAAGCUGAUGUGCCUGUGAAAUCCAGGAUGUCAUCGAUCAACUGAUAUGCUAUGCCCUGGAAGAGAGAGUGUAGGUCAUUUUAACAGUUCAUUUGUCUAGCAAAAAUAGGAACAGCUUCUGUCUAUGGAAAAAUACAACACACCAAGUGUCUGCCAUACUGAUAAGCAAGAGCUUGUACUUCUGUUGUUUGCUCAGCGAGGACAGCAAUAGCUUUGCAGCUGUCUUGUAGUAUGUCUUCUGCAAAUAAUAGUCCAUGUUGUACAAGCAUCCAUGAACAGGUGUCACAUUUGAAAGCAUAUAUGGCUAGGGAAAUUGUAUUUUGAUUAUGAAGGUGCAUAGCACGUACAUAUACAUAGGAUAGUGUCCUAGGGUUAGGAGGAGCCCUUGCCUAUGCUACAAUAAACCCUGGCGCCUGACCUGACUGGGGCCGGUGGCAUAGCACAGGCGCCUAUCAAGGGGCCGGCCGCACAUGGGCCUAGCCGGGCUCUAGCCCAAUUACACAUAUUCUAACGUGCUCCCGCAGUCUAAUCGUCGGUACCACAAAUGUUCAGACUGGAUCUAAAAUCUGUAAAUACAGAAGAAGGCAACCCCUUGGUGAAGACGUCGGCGUACUAAGAUGAUGUGGGAACAUGUAGUACUCGAACGUCACCCAUAGCAACGCCCUCCCGAACGAAGUGAAGAUUGAUCUCAAUAUGUUUGGUGCGCUGAUGCUGAACCAGGUUGGAGGACAUGUAGACCGCGUUGAUAUUGUCACAAUACACCAAGGAGGCGCGGCGAAGUGGGGCAUAGAGCUCCUGAAGAAGCUGGCACAGCCAGGUAGCUUCGGCGAUGGCAUUUGCCACGACGCGAUACUCAGCUUCGGCACUGGACUUGGAGACGGUGUGCUAUCGCUUGGAGGACCAAGAAACCAGGUUGUCGCCAAGGAAGACCGCAUAGCCGGAAGUGGAUUUGCGAGUGUCUGGACAGCCUGCCCAAUCAGCAUCAGAGUAUACCACCAGUGAAUCCUGACCUGAACACGGACGCAGCAGUAGGCCGAGAUGGAGAGUGCCACGGAUGUACCAGAGGAUGCGCUUCAGGGCAGCAAGGUGAGGCUCUCGCGGAUCAUGUGGAGACAGACUUGCUGAACGGUGUAGGCAAUAUCCAGCCUGGUGAAAGUGAGAUACUGCAAAGCGCCGGCGAGACUGUGAAAAUCCGAGGCAUUGGUGACAGGGGCACCUGAAGCAGCCGACACCUUGGGAUUGGUGUCAAUGGGAGUGGAGCACGGCCUACACUCAGCCAUGCCAGCACAACCCAGGAUAUCAAGCAUGUACUGCCGAUGAGACAACAGAAAUCCUCCACCAACAACAGGCUGCACACACAUACCCAGGAAGUGAUGAAGAGGCCCAAGAUCCUUCAUAGAGAACUCCCACUGCAAAGCCUGAAGAAUCUGUCGAAGCAAUGUUGGGGAAGAAGCCGUGAGUACAAUGUCAUCAACAUAGAGCAAGAGAUACGCGAUCUCGGUGCCUCGGUGAAACACAAACAGUGAGGUGUCAGACUUGGCCUCCACAAAGCCAACAGACUGAUAAUAAGCUGCAAACUAACUAUGCCAGGUGCGAGGAACUUGCUUCAGGCCGUACAGAGACUUGUUGAGGCGGCAAACGAAGUCUGAAUGAGCAGAAUCCUCAAAACUAGCAAGCUAACCACAAUACACAGUCUCAGAAAGAGUGCCAUGGAGAAAUGCAUUCUUGACAUGUAGCUGGUGAACAGGCCAGUGAUGAGAGAGUGCAAAUGAUAGAACUGUCCAGACAGUAGCAGGCUUGACGAUCGGACUGAAAGUCUCAUCAAAGUCCACCCCUGGCCACUGAGUGAAGCUGCAAAGAACCCAUCGAGCCUUCUACCAAUCAAGAGAGCCAUCCGAAUUGAACUUGUGCUUGAAUAUCCACUUACCAGUGACAAUAUUAGCACGCGAUGGACGAGGCACAAGCUUUCAUGUGUUGUUCUAGAGAAGCGUUGCAUGCUCAUCUUCCAUAGUAGCCCACCAAUUAGGAUCAAUGAGGGCACUGCGGAAGGACUUUGGAACCAGAGACAACAGCGCAAUGUGGAACAGAAUAGGCUGACAGAACCCAAGCAUGGCACGGGUGGUCAUGCCAUGCUGGUUGAUGACGGGCGGAACAGCGACAGGUCCUUUGGGAAGGACCGGAGCAUGAGCUCCUGGAUCGGCACCUAGUGCGCUGGUGGUAGGGCUGGCGUCAAAGGCUGGCAGCGGUGACGGGAGAGGAGGGGCGGCGGAGCGGCACGUGUAGAUGAAGCGGAGUGGCGUCGAGUCGAAACCAGGAGGGACCCAUGGAGCCAGGGGGCAAACCGGAGCUGGGGACCCACCAGGCGACGACGCUCCAGGGGCACUAGCGGGAACUCCAGGGGACGCGCCAGGGACGCUAGUGGGAACUCCGGGGACGCCAACGGGGGCGCCGGGGUGACACCAGGAGGCGCUGGUGGGCUCUGGCGAUGCACCAGGGGUGCCAACGGGGGCGGAUGAUGUGCCAGGGCCGCGAAGGGGCACUAGUAGGGGUGCCGGGGCGACGCCGGGGGCGCCGAGGCGGCGCUGGGAGGCGCUAGUAGGGGCGUCGGGGCAACACCAGGAGGCGCCGGGACGGCGCCAGUGGGUGUCAAGAGGGGCACCAUAGGGGGCACAGCGAGGGGUGCUGACGGUGCCAGUGGGACCUGAAGGCAAAGUGGGCUGUCAAGUUCCGUUGGGAACCGGCACAUGGUCAGUAGCGUCGUCCAAAAGACUGUAAUCCACCGGGGAAUGUGGACAGGAAUUCUCAGCAUAGGGAAAUGAGGACUCAUCCAAGUUGACAUGUCGGGAGAUGAUGAUUCAGUUAGAACCAAAGUCAAAACAGCGGUACCCUUUAUGAUGAGCAGAAUAUCCAAGAAAAAUACACGAGGUGGACCAUGGUGCUAACUUGUGACUAACUGUGGUGGAAAGGUUGGGAUAACAUCUACAACCAAAGACGCGGAGGUGAUCAUAGGACGGUGCAGUGCCGUACAACGCCUCAUGUGGAGUGCGAAAAGCAAGGGUCUUGGUAGGUAGCAUGUUGAGCAGAUAUGUCGUGGCGUGGAGAGAUUUGACCCAAUAGUGAGGGGGAAGGCUUGCUUGGAAGAGGAGGGAGCGGAGGAUGUUGUUCGUAGUGCAAAUGAUCCGCUCAGCUCAACCGUUUUGCGGCGACGUGUAUGGGCAUGACAUGCGGAAGUGGACACCACGGGAGAGAAAGAACGUGCGGGCGCUGGAGUUGUCAAACUCGUGAUCGUUGUCGCACUGGACGGCCUUAAUGGUGGCGCCAAACUGUAUAGUCAUGAAGGAAAAGAUGUUAGCAAGAGUAUCAAACGUGUCAUAUUUCAACCGCAGGGGAAAACUCAAGGAAAAAUGAGAGCAAUCAUCGAGAAUAAUCAAGUAGUAUUUAAAACCCGAGAUGCUAGGAAUAGGUGACGUCCAAAGAUCACAAUGAAUAAGAUUAAAAAUCCUAGAGGCUCGAGAGGAGGACACCUGAAAGGGAAGACGGGUGUGUCGUCCGAGCUGACACACAUGACAGAGAGACGAGCUAAUGUCUUUAUUACAUGACGGUAAAAUGUGCGCAAGACGGGAAAGGGCGUCCAUCCCGGGAUGGCCGAGACGGUGAUGCCAGACCAUAGAGGUGGCGCCAACAGUGAGAGCAGCAGCAACAGGGAGGUGCAAGGGGUAUAGUGGACCCGAACUAUUGCACCUGACGAUCACGUUCUUGGAUCGAAGAUCCUUCACAGAACAACCAGACCGGUCAAAUUCAAUUGAGCAGUUGUUAUCGGUAGUAAAUUGGCGCAUGAAAAUAAGAUUCUUAAUAAACUUGCGGGAAACAAGGACAUUAUUAAGAUGCAAAGAACCGAGAAGAAUAGUUGUGCCAGUAGAAGUGACAGGAAGUAAAGAACCAUCAUCGACAACAAUAGCUGAAGGACAAGGGUACCACUGGGUGAAAUUGUGCAAAAAGGAAUGAGCAUCAGAGGUCAUAUGGGAGGUAGCACCUCAGUCGAAGUACCACUCAUGCUGUUGCGGCUGGUUCAGCGUCAUAGUGAUGAAGGUGGAGGCAAGGGACUGCUGAUCCCACGAUGGCGUGCUGGCGGCGGUGCUCAAGUGGCCAAAGGGCUGGUACGGCGCUUGCUGCAGGGCCUGCGCCAGGGCGGCCUGGUAUGUCUUGGCCUGCGCCUGGGCAGCCUGCAACUAGGCGGCCUGCAGCUGGGUGGCCUCGAACUGGGCCACUUGGAACGCCUGGAGCUGCAUCUGCUAUGCAUGCGUCGAGUACUGGGCCAACAUGGCAUGAGGGUGUGCCCCAGCCUGCUGAACGCGCGCACUGGGCCACAUCUGGAUGGCCCCAGUCCACGGGUUCUGGAAGGAGGGCCAGGGGGCGACAUCGGAGGAGCCCUGGGAGGCGCCCUGCUUGGCGCUGCUGGGGAGGGGGCGCUGGCCGGCGUCGCCACCACUGCAGGAGUUGCCGCCCUUGGAGGUCCGGCCGCCGAAGUUGCGCUUGCUGCGACGAGGCUUGGAGGAGCCACUCCCGGAGCGGUGUUGCUGUGGGGGCUGGGGUGGCUGAGCCAAAUGCGUGGGGGUGCCUAAGCCAGCAGUGAGGAGAGCGGUGGAGUCUCGUGGUUGUUGAGAAACUGGGAUUCAACGGCAAGCCAGACGGAGCCGGCGGUGGCGCCGAGCGCCAUCAUGAUGCCGGCGAGGUCGUUGGAGAGGGUGCAGUAGAUCCAAGACCGGAUGACACAAUCCAUCCGCGCCCAAUCUGGAUGACCAGGGAGGGGACGGUCCUGAAGGAUGUGGGCGUCGAGGGAGAACUUCCCGACCAUGAGCAGGAACUGCUCGUGCCAGCAAGCAUAGUUGGUGGAGGUGACGUCAAGGACAAUCAGGACGAAGCUGUGGAUGUUCUGGACCGCAACAGCCUGGGCGUGUAGGUUCAGGAUGGCGGUGACCUUGUGGAGUAGCAUGGCGUCGUGGACGGAGGGGACGACACGGCUCUUGUGGUCGUCAUCAUCGUCGAGGUGGACACGGUUCUUGAAUCUGCUCAAUCCAGAACAAGGUUAUCCAAGUUUUUAGUAGAUAGAUUAGCACCAAUGAUCUAUUUAAUUGUGAUUGGCAUUAUAUUAAGUAGUGAAUACUUUUCCUGGACUUUGAUUUGAUGAUAGUUGAUGAAAAGUAACGUCAGUACAUAUCCACUCUAAGCUAAACAGCUACUUGCACGCAUAUGAAGAGUUAAAGAAUGAAGUGAGCAUAACAACACAUUCUAAGGCACUAAUCUGCUACCUCCACACUGACCCCACAUCAUAUCUCAAACUUAUCAAAGUUUAUGGGUGCAAUAGCUUGAUGCAAGAAAAUGAUAAAAUGAAUAGGAUAUGUACCUGCAGCGCUGUGCUGGAGUUAUUGACAUCUGCAUAAGCUCACCAGUAACAAGAUUAUUUACAGCAGUUGCUAGUAAUGAUACAACCUGCAGAAUUAAAAAUAAUUCCGGUAUCUUGACGUUAUGAACAUGCAAAAGAUACAGACUGGAAAGGAACUGACAUAAUCUGAUGUUGAAAGAAAUGGGCGAAGAUACAGAGUGACAUGGCAGCUCACAAGCUAAAAACUAAAGUGAUUUUGUUCUUUCAGUUGUAUUUUUUUAGCCCCCACUCAUAGUCUAUUUUAUCCUCGAUAGCAAUAUUCCCAACAAAGUCAAACAAAGAUGAAGGAAAAUAAUAUAACUUGUUAGCCUUUACAAAGGAGAAACAUCUCACCUCAGUAUUGUCAAGAGACACAGCUGCAGAAAAUGCCCUGAAAAGUAGGAAAUCGCCAGCCAAUACUGCAAGCUGCAGGGUAGCAUCAGCUUUACUAACUGUUAUAAGGUAUUGUGAAUAUGACACAAGAUAUAGUUUGACUUGCAUUUUGCCAAGUUUACAGCAUGGCUUGGCGUUGCUUCCUUUUAUUUCUUUUAGAAGAACACUAGUCCAUCAACCCGUGCUCCCGCACGGGCUAAUAUUUUCAGAAGCUAUUGUAUUUGAAAAUUAUUUAGAAAAAUUAAACUCCUAGCUAAUAAUCAAAAUUAUUUACCUACCACUCUCUUAUUUUUCAAUACUUAUAUAGAUAUAUGUAUCUAUCUUUGUCUAGUUGUGAUUGAUUUUUAAUUAAUAAUUACUCUAUGCACGUUUUCAUCCAUAUUCGUACUUUUUCCAUUUUGUAUCACACAUCCAAUCCUCCAUACAUUAUGUUUAGCAUACAAAUCAAUAUUUUUCAUCGAUUCCUCACAUACAUGUAUAAAUAGUCUAAAUGGUGGCACUCAUCAUGUGUAUAUACUUUAACUUAGUAUGUUUUAUAUUAAUAAUGACAUAAAUAGGUAAUUUAGAAUCAUAUAUUAGUUUACUUUUUGAUAUUUCUGUAUGAUGCACAUGAAGAUAAUUAGAUUAAUAUUUAGGUGUUUACUUUAGGUUAUUUUUAAUAACGACAUACAUGGGUAACAUAGAUAAAAUUUUAGAAUGACAUUUUAAGUUAUGCUUUAUAAUUAUGUGUAUUAGUAAAUUGGAUGAAGAUUUAUAGGGUUACUUUAGAUUAUUUUUUAUAAUAGCUAAGCUCAGUAAUUUAGAUAUAGGUUUAGAGCUCAUUUUUAAAUAUUUUCACAAUGACAGUGGUGGGUAACUUUUUAGAAAAUAUAAUAGAUCAAUGGCUAUGAUUAUUAGAGUUUACAGGAUUUGUGUUUGAUGUUUUUAACUUUUAUGAGAAUUUAUCUCUUUUUUCUAGCUUGUCUCGUGGGAACUAUUGUGGAGUCUCCAAUGGAGAAAAAAAUAAGACUACACUGCUACAAAACUAUUAUCAUAAGCUACCUCUCGUUUGUUAAAUAUUCGACCAUAAUAUUUAUGUAGAUAUAUAUUUAAUAUCUUCAUCCAAUUGUGAUCGAUUUUAGUUAGUAAUUACUCUAUAAUAUUUUCAACCGCAUUUAUAAUCUUUAACUUUUCACUUUGCAUCGCAGGUAUACGCCUGAAUUUAUUUAAUGAACCCUAAGUUUGAGAUACAAUUUUAGCAUAGAAAUCUAUAUUAUCAUCAUUUUAUAUCCUUAUAAAUGGUGACACACAUCAUGCGUAUAGACCUUAAUUGUUAUAUCGUAUACCAAUAGUGAAAGAUAUAGACAAUUUAGAAUCAUAUAUUGCUGUAUAUUUUUAAUUAAGGUUAUUUGAUUCAAAUGUAGGGUUACCUCAUGUUAUUUUUAAUAAUGGCAUAUGUGGGUAAUAUAGAUGCAAAUUUAAGGGUUUACUUUAAGUUUAAACUUAAGUAAUAGUGGUAGGCAAUUCAAUUGCAAAUUAGGGGGUUAUUUUAAAUAUUGUUUAUAAUGGCAUAAGUAGGUAAUUUGGAUGAAGAUUAGGAGGUUACUUUAGUUUAUUUUAUAUAAUGGCAAAGGUGGGUAAUUUAUAUAUAGAUUUAGGGGGUUACUUUAGGCUAUUUUCAUAAUAGCAUAGGUUGGUAAUUUUUUAGAAAACAUAAUAAAUCCAAUGGCUAUGAUGAUUUGAAUCUAUCGAUUGAUGGUUGGAUGUUUUGCUUUUUUUUAAGAAUUUCUCUCUUUUUCUAGAGUGUCCACAUAGGAAUCCUAGGUGGCUUCACCUGAAAGCUUUAAAAGGAGCCUCCAAUUAGUAACAGUAAGAUGGUCCAUACUUACGAGAUGAAGAUGUGCAAAAUAAACAGAUACAACUAUUAUCAUUAUUCAUUUUCAGAGGUAUCAAACAGAAAAAUGGGCUUACUUGCACAUUAAAUAAGAAAUUUUUUAUAUUUUGGUCUCUAAGAACUACGGGGAAAAAGGCUAAACCAAAAUACUUUAAUUGAGCUACUGAACAGCAACUCAUUGAUCUCCACAUGUUUAUAUGUCCAUAUUUAAGAAUACAACAUUAAAUUAAGAUCCCUUGAAUUUUCUUUUCCAUUAAAAUUUUAUGAUUUUUUUCUCGAACAACACAGGAUGAGCAAGCAAGCAGGCUCAAGGAUGUUGUAAGCCUCUACUGGCCCGUCUGUCAGCAAUCCAAAGUCUUUGUUUAAUAGCUAACCAAAUGAAAAAUUUACAGCAUAGGGGGGCCCAACUUCUCUAUAUUAUUUUCCAAGGAAUAAACUUAAUAGAUCCCACAAAAAAGGCCUCAUAUGCAGACUUACUGGAGUAUAAACCAGAUUGGGUCAGUUUCCAAAUGUAUUGGUCAGGAGUAUCUUGUUGCAGCUGGACACCAUCCAAUUGGUCCCAUAAUAAUAGGUACACCAUCACGACUUCCACAAUGAGUCGUCCCCUGAUAUCAGUGACCCACCGCCUAUUAGAGAGGGCCUGAGCGACAGUUCUAGUCUUGACAAUUCUUUUAGGGAUGGUUUGGAACCAGUUUGGAGCAGUUUCGGCUAUGGUUUUGCCCUCCAACCAUCUGUCUUUCCAAAAAAGAAUUGAUUCACCAUUACCUACUAUCAGCGUGCCACUUUGAAGACAAGUCAAAGUAGCCAUAUUAAACUAUUUGGCCCUAAAUAUACAAGUUAGCCAUUGUAGAAAAAGUAUAUGAUAUUACUUUCUUCCCCACUUUGAAGUUCAAUGAGUCCAUGGCACGCCUAGUAUCAGCAUCGUCCAAAACGUCAUCAUGAAUAAGGCUCGAUAUCUAAGAUGUAAGGGAGAAGACAAGUCACUAAAACAAAUAUUUCUGAAUGUUUCGGAAAGUGGAAUGAAACAAGAUGCCUAAGAUGCGUACAUGAAUCAUUUCAGUUAUCUCAGCAUGCAUACGCCUUCACCAUUGCAGAAACCAUGCACGAGCUGCGGCUUCUCCAGAUGGGAGGCAACCGCCUGACCGACAAAGGCGUCUAUGCUAUCCUGAAGGGCUGCCCUCGUCUCAAGUUCUUUGACAUCUCCGAAUGUUACAAUGUUAGCAAUGAACUCCGUGCUCGCUGCACCAAGAUUAAACAUGUUUGGUUGCCUGGACAACGGCCUAUUGUCCUGGACAACGGCCUAUUGUCCAGGGGCGGAGCUACAGGGUAUGCUGCAUAUGCUGCAGCAUACCUUGUUUUUCCACCAAGGUAAUUACUAUACAUACAUAUUUUAUAUAAAGAAAAAAGAAAAUGGAAGCGAGAGAGCAGGUUGCAGGACAGCAGAGGAGGCCGACUCGUGCAGACUUGCGAUUCCACCGUCAGGCCCACGCGGCCCACACGGAUUGCGACCUCCUCACGCAACGGACUCCAGGUCUCCAGCACACGGCAGUUCGGCUUUGUCUCUUCGUGCGGCUUGCGGCGCGGCGUACAGCGUGCCCUACCCGGAAUCUGCAGACCGCCGACUGCUGAGACGGAGAGAUGAGACGGAGACGCCAUCACACGACGGCAAUACUACUUAGUCGAUUGCCAGCCGGAAGCAGGCAGCAGCGAGCCAGCGGCCAGUCCAGGCAUCCAGCAGCAGCCAGCAGGGCGCAGGCCAAUAAUCGUUCAAGAUCUCGAGAAACACUGGCAUCUGGUGAAUUAUUUGUUCUACGUUCUUUGGCUUUUAUAAAAACAUCUUUAUUCAUGUAUGAUUUAAUUACUAAUUGCUUAGCCCUAAAUUAUAGAUUCAUCUAGCACGCAACAAGGUGGAGGAUUUUACCCUACAGAAAAGUCGAUCUAGAUUGAUCUUUUGUUCUGGACUCGUAUCAUGUGAGUGAUCCAUAAUCACUUGUGUCAGUUCAAUCGUGUACAAGCACAAUUUAUUUAAUUGUUUGGUGUUGUGUUCUUUGUAAUAUUUAAACAGUUAUGAAGAGAGACGGGAACAUUGCAUCUCUUUUUCAGAAGCAUGAAGCAAAGAGGAAGGCAGCAGCAGCUGCUGCUACUUCUAAUCGUUCUUCUGAUCCGGUUGUACCUGUGGUGGAAGAGCAAACUCGUGAGAGAGUAGUUGAGGAAAUUGAAACUCAUAUCCUAGCGCCACCACCACCGCCCCCACCGCAGCCGUCUUCUGUGCCACCAGUUUAUGACAUCAAUCGCCUUCCACAAGAUCCAGGUGAAAGACGUCCCAUUCUUAGUUAUCCUACUAAUGAUCAAGAUGCAAUUCGAAGAGCAUAUAUUACUAAAGGUCCAUUCAAGCCUUUUGCACAUGAUUUUCCGAAAACAAAGAUUUCAGGAAUAAAUCGUCAAUUCAAUUAUUGUUGGAUGUACAAUCAUGAAUGGAUUGAAUAUAGUAUUAAAAAGGAUGCUGUAUUUUGCUUUAUAUGCUACUUGUUCAAGAAGGGCACAGGGUCAGAGGCAUUUACUGUUGAUGGCUGGAAUAAUUGGAAUAUAGGAGAGAAGGCACUUCUCAAACAUUUGGGUUCCAAGUCACAUAUCGCAGCUCAAGAGAGAUAUAUUGGCUUUACAAAUCCCAAGGUAGCAAUUGAUUAUAAUAUUCAGAAGUAGAGUGAUGAGGAUCUUCGACUUUAUAAGAAAAGGUUGACUUAUUCACUUAGGUGUAUCAAGUUUCUUUUGCAUCAAGGGUUGGCGUUUCGUGGACAUGAUGAAAGUAAAGAAUCUAGCAACAGAGGGAACUUCAUUGAACUUUUGAAAUUUCUUGGCGGAAAUAGUGAAGAAGUGAAUAAGUAUGUUUUGGAGAAUGCUCCAGGUAACUGUACCUUAACUAGCCCAGACAUACAAAGCCCUUGUUUACUUUGCGAAUUUGGGAGGUGCCAAAUUACUGUAGCAACACUGUAGCGUUUCGUUUGUAUUUGUGAAUUAUUGUCCAAAUAUUGACUAAUUAGGCUCAAAAGAUUCGUCUCGCAAAGUACAAUAAAACUGUGCAAUUAGUUUUUGAUUUCGUCUACAUUUAGUACUCCAUGCAUGUACCGCAAGUUUGAUGUGAUGGGGAAUCUUCUUUUUGCAUAGUGCCAAAGUUGGGAGUUUUGUAGGAAGUGAACAAGGGCAAAAGCAAAUUAUUCACUGCUGUGCCCUAGAAACUAGAAAGAAAAUAAUUGAAGAACUUGGUGAUGAGCCUUAUGCAAUUUUAGCUGAUGAGUCUAGUGAUAUAUCACAUAAAGAACAACUAGCUCUUUGCUUGCGUUAUGUUGAUAAAUUGGGAAGGCCAUGUGAGCAUUUUAUUGGAGUUGUUCAUGUAGAUGAUACUACCUCUUUAUCACUGAAGAAUGCAAUUGAAGCUUUACUUUUAAGUCAUGGCUUGAGUUUGACUCAAAUCCGUGGUCAAGGAUAUGAUGGGGCUAGCAACAUGAAAGGAGAUAUUAAAGGGUUGAAAACAUUGAUCAUGCAAGAAUCACCUUCUGCUUAUUAUAUUUAUUGUUUUGCUCAUCAACUCCAAUUGGUUCUUGUUGCUGUUGCUAAAGGAAAUACUGAUUGUAGCUUCUUUUUUGAUCAAGUAUCUAUCUUGUUGAAUAUUGUUGGAGUUUCUUGUAAGCGCCAUGACAUGCUUAGAAAUGCAAGGCUUGAGAAUGUCAAGAAAGCACUUGACUGUGGUGAAAUUGAAUCUGGAACUGGAUUACAUCAAGAGAUGGGUUUGCCUAGACCUGGAGAUACUCGAUGGGGAUCUCAUUACAAAACCAUAUGCAGCAUCAUUACUAUGUAUGAAUCAAUCCACGAUGUACUGGUUGAUCUUGGGGAUGAUUCGACAUAUAAGGAUGAUUGGACCAAAAUACAUUUUGUGACGGGAGCAUUUGAGACCUUUGAGUUUGUUUUCUUUGCACACUUAAUGUAUAUUAUUCUUGGAUACACAAAUGAGUUAUCUGAGUGUUUGCAAAGAAGGGAGCAAGACAUUCUUAAUGCAGUAUCACUUGUUAAUGUGGCAAAGAAAAGAAUGCAAGAAUUGAGGUCAAAUGGCUGGGAUAAUUUUCUUGAGAGGGUCACCUCGUUUUGUGAUAAACAUGGUGUUGAUGUUCCUGCUAUGGAUGGUGAUUAUGUUCCUUAUGGAAAAUCAGCAAGGAAAUCUCGUGCUCGAAAGCAAACCAAUGAUGACCACUUUAGAAGAGAAGUAUAUAUUGGCGUCAUUGAUCAAAUAAGUCAAGAACUUGAUAAUCGGUUUGAUGAGAUUAACAUGGAGUUGAUGUCUUGUAUGGCAGCCUUCAAUCCUUCUAAUUCAUUUAAGUCUUUUGAUGCACAGAAGCUACGCAGACUAGCUAAGUUCUACCCAAAGGACUUCUCAAAUAAUAAUUUGCUCAGACUUGAAUUGCAGCUAGAUAAUUAUAUUGAUGACAUCAGGAAGGAUGAUAGAUUCAAAGGUCUAGACAAUAUUGUUGACCUCUCAUUUAAGCUUGUCCAAACAAAGAGGCAUAAAGUGUAUGAUAUGGUCUAUGAGCUUCUUAAAUUGGUAUUGCUUCUACCUGUGGCAACAGCAAGUGUUGAAAGGGUGUUUUCUGCAAUGGUUUUAGUGAAAACAAAGUUACGAAAUAAGAUGGGAGAUAGUCUUUUGGAUGAUUGUCUAGUCACUUUUAUUGAGCGAGAUAUUUUCUUUGAAGUUGAUGAAGAUGAUAUAAUUGAGUUAUUUAUGUCCCUUCGGAAGCGUCGAAUAAAAACGUCAUUAUAGUAACGUUGUAAGUCUCUGGUACUCUAUGCAUAUAUUUCAAUUAUCAGUUUGGCUUUGAAACUAUUUAUAUUGUAUUUAAUGGAUAUGGUUUCUACUUUAUCCAUGAAUUUAAACCUUAUUACCGAAUUGGUAAAUGGAUUUACCGAAUUGUGUAUCAUUUUUUUGGAUGCAUACCUUGACCUAAAAUCCUAGAUUCGCCACUGCUAUUGUUCUCUGCCCUGAUCAUCGUGUGACUGGAGAGAACGAAGGCAACAAUAAUGGGCUUAUGCUGCAUGAUCUCUGGGAAGCUGAAAUUCAACCUCUUCGUGGAGAGGCGGCAAUGGAUGAUGAUGCCUAUGAUGACAACUACUGGGAGGACUACUGGUCCCCUCUGUUUAUGCGCCCCAAGUUGCACAAUGUGACCUGUGAUGACUGGUGACACCAAGAUUUUACUUACAUCCAUAAUUAUCUGCGAUCAUUUCACCUCUGAAUGCUACAAUGUUGGGUUACGACCUCUGAAUGUUAUAAUCAUCUGCACCAAGAUUAAACAUGUCUGGUUGCCUGGACAAUGGCCUACUGUCCUCUGCUCUGGUCGUCGUGUAUCUGGAAAGAAAGAAGGCAAUGGCGUUGGGCUUAUGCUUCAGGGCCUUCGGGAAGCUGAGGUUUAACCUCUACUAUGGAGACUGGGCAUAGAUGUCUGGAUGACAAGACCUGUGUGUUGACAGCUAACUACUGGUCCCGUCUCGUAUCUGUGCCCAGAGUCGUGCAAUGUGACCUGUGAUGACACCAAAAUCUUUUUUACUUGCAUCCAUUACUGAUAGUCUCUGAUCAAUUCAUCUCUUUUUCAUAAAUACGCAGGUGAGCUGCGUAUCUUUGUAUUAAGCAGGAGAAAAUGUAUAGAACGUUAGCCCGCGCGCUUGCACACGAUUUUGUGAUACAUAAUCGAGAUUACAUGACAAACGCAAACCCCCAGAAAGAAAAAGAAAGACUUGCCGACUGUGUCAGGUUAUAAGCAGUCCUCCCGACGCCGACCGCGCGUUGAGGCCGCGCAUGAUCAAUUCGUCUCAAGUCCUAUACUGAAUAAUGAGGGGUUUGCGGAAGUCGUAAGUCGCCGCCGUAGUCUUGAAGUUUGCAGUUUGUAAAUCUGGUCUAUGUAUGAUACAUGUGUAGUUUGGAGCACUUCAGGUGUGGCUUAACGGCCAGCACUCAGUUAUAAAGUGCAGCAACAUUGUAUUUGCUGUUCUAGUCUGUAGUUCGGCCCAAAGCAGUGCUCUGUUUCCUGGGGGUGAGGCUGACUAUUUACAUGUGUAGUUUGGAGCAGUUCUGAGACCACACUAGACAAGUUAAACCCAAAUUUUUGGAGCAUGUUACUGGAAACAAAGAAAAGUACACUUUCAAUACGAACUGUCUUACUCCAUUUUACAGCUUAAAUGACGAAUAGUUAAAGAAUCAACUGAACGUAACAGCAUAUUGUAAGGCACUAAUCUGAUACCUCCACACCGUCACCCCACAUCAUACCUCAAACUUAUUCAAGUUUAUUAUGAGUAUAGUAUCUUUACAUCAGUACGUAUAAAAACUCCAGCACUAGAGAACAGCAUAAUGCAAGAAAGUAAGAAACGGAAUUCCUAACUAUCACUCAAGUAAAAUUCUGCUAUGCGCGUGAAUCCUUUUUUUUUUGUCUUUUCUUUUUUUAGAGGCGUGAAUCGAUUUUUUCGGUCCGAUCUGUUGUUCUUGUGCGCCCGUUCGAGCCUCUUCUACGGCCCAGUUUUGCAACGCUCUUCACGGAUGCCAACCCAGUUAUUUUCAGCCUGCCACUCGGGCUUUUCUUCACGUGGACUAUAAUAGUCACGUCAUGCCUCUAAAAUAACAGAAAACUAUAACUUCUACAAGCUUUUUUUUUAGCAUAACUCCCAGUAUUUAAGAUCCGUGCUAUAGUAUAUUGAUAGGAUGGUUAAGAUAAGGUGGGGGAGCAAUCGAACCAUACAUAAAUACCUCGUGACAUGUUGAACCACGGUCUGUAGAUUGUUGAAUUAGUUGUACGAAUUAGUGACUAAGAGGAUCUGGACUACCAGUUGUACGAAAUCCUUGUCAAACUUCUAUCACGAGCAAAAGCUGAAGAUACAGAUGCCGUGGUAACUAAAUUUGGAACAAUGCUUUCAUGCUUCUUGUCAGGAAACAGUUUCCCAUGUGUAGACCCUACAACCAUGCAUGGUGGUUCAAAGAACAAUGCCAAUAUACCUGUGCUCAACAAACAUGUGCUGAGCAUCCUCUUCCUCCCUGCGCCUAAUGACAUACUUCUACAACAGGCUGCACCGAGGAUUAUUAGUUAAAGAGAUGUAACUUAAGCCAUGUUUGACCACUGAUCCAUGGAUCCACCUCCAUUGCGCAAAUUGUUGAAUGCGUAGCCAUCUUGAGUUAUUUUUUUAUGCUUAUUUUAUUCUGCACGCUGCUUAUUUUAUUAUUAAAAGUGAUCGGUCUGCCGGUAGUCGGCAGCGAUGGCUUUGCCGAUCCCGUUCGUAUGUAAGAAUUGGUAUUGAAACCAGUCACCCGUGCUACUUUGUGGGACGAUGGGUAUGGCAGAAAUUAAAAUGUAAGAGUGCCAAUUUAGUUUCAUCCAUGGCUAUGAGCCUUCCUGCAGUGCUGGACUGCUGGUUGACUCAACUGGAAGGGGGCCGUAUUUUUGUCCAGAAUGCAUUUGCAAAGGUGACUGCUUGGGUUUAGUAGUUUCGUAAUCGAUGUAUUGAUAGGAGAGCCAGGAGGGACGACAUAUGUUUGGGGUAGCAGCAUAUCUAAUCAGAGUCAUCUACGUUCACGCGUUCAUACCGGAUCGGAGACGCGACGGGAAAGUCGGAUCAAACUUGGUUAGAAGUGGAGGUGGGGUCCACAUGUCAAUAAUUGAAGUUGGACCAAAUCAAAAAAUUUAGGCAGAAGCAUUGCUUUUAUGUAAGAUUGAAUCAAUAAACCUCGCCAUGAUGGCUUUCCCACGGAAAAAGAAUGAUAUAAUUUUUUGUGUGUGCCUUAUAAUAAAUAGUACAUAGAGAAAAAUAUAUUAAUAUGGAAAAUUGUCGGAUUAGGCCACAUUGUUGCGUUAAAGUUUCUUUUAGAAAAAUACAUGGGUGUCUGGCAGCACUCCCCUCCAAAAAACAGUUCCACUUCACUAGCUCCACAAAAUUGCCUGACAAACACGUUCAGCUCCACAAACUCCAGCUCCAGAAAAAACGUGAAGCUAGGGGUCAGAUCCACAUUUUUCCUGGAGUACCUUAGGGGUGCUCCAAAAACAUCAAUUUCAGACUUUCUUGUGAAGUUGGGUAUUAUUUACCCACCUUUGCCACUCGUUACACAACACCUAAUUUUUCCUUUCUGCUCACUAUCUUCGUUUCCUCCCUCUAUUCAUCCCCUGCCAGCACCGCGCCGCCCUCGCCAGUCGGCGCUACGCUGCCCACGCGGCCCUCGCCUAACGGAGCUGCGCUAGUGCGCUACCGACGCCACCGUCACCCUCCGGAGCUGCACCGCCCUCGCCCUCCUCGGCCGCGGCCACGCUGCCCCUGCUCGCCGCCCCUGCCCACGUCGGUCGCAUGGCCCCUGCUCGUCGGACCUCGCCGCCCCCACCCACUGGGGCCGCGGGGUUGCGCCCUCUUGCUGGCCGGAGCUGCGCCGCCAUCAUUGCCGCCGGAGAGGACGAGGCGGCGGUGCUGCUCGCCUUCAGGCGGGCGUUGGUGGUGGACGACCCGCGCGGCGCACUUGCUGGCUGAGCCCACGCGAACUCCACUGCGACGCUAUGCUUGUGGGCUGGCAUCUCAUGCGCGUCGCCGCCCGACAGCCGUGUCGUCACCCUCAACCUCAACGGCAUGGCACCCACCUGCUAGCUCUGGCCCGACGACGCUCCCCGUGGCUGGCUGCUGCUAGCCGGCCGCAGGGGCGCCGGGGCUGCAGGCACUGCCGACGCUGCUGCUGCUAGCCGACCACGGGGCGCCGGGCUGCAACAGGUCUAGAGAGGACGGCGGCGGUGGCGGGGACAAGGCGCUGCCCUUGGCGUGGAGCUCAGGAUCUGAAAAAGAGAAAGGGGCGAAGAGGAAGGGAGAACAUAGAAGAGGCUGACACAUGGAUCCAUUUACAAAGGGUAAAAUAGGCUAUUCACAACAAGUCUUCAUGUUUGUGGAGCUACGGCACUGCGAUCGGCCAAACACAUACAACAACUCUAGUAUUUUUGUGGAGUUGGUGGAGUGGAGCUUAGGUGGAGUAGAGUUGGUGGAGUGGAGUUAUAAAAUUUUUAGUGGAGUGUUGCCAAACACCCGAGUAUGAAUCCAAAUCUGAGAACAAUCGUGACACGAAAGAGAAAGGAAGGAAUUGUUAUUUGAACGUUCUAUAAUAACAUAUUAAAAUAUAAUUAAAAGAAAAUAAAUGGAAAAAGGAGCGGUCAACCGUGGAGCCCUUCGUUCGGUCGUUCCUAGCAUCGGGUCCAUCGCGUGGACUCGGCCUUUUCUUCACGUGGACUCUAAUAGUCACGUCAUGUCUCUAAAAUAAUGGAAACCUAUAACUUCUACAAGCUUUUUUCUUCCGUAGAUUGUUGAAUUAGUUGUAUGAAAAUGUUGAAACAGGCAGCAGCCAGUCGGACUACCAAGCAGCCUGCCGCCUCCAGCGCAUAUGCCUGUGGCCUGACUAAGAGGAUCUCGACUACGAGUAUUCGUAUAAAGAAACUGCGCAUAUGCUGGCAGUCCGUGAGAUAGGAGAGAGCAUGAGAGAGAUGACGGAUGGGAAAAAGAAGGUGAGCGAACAGUAUGUGGAUGGAGGUCCGGCAAACGUUGGAGAAGAUGCGGCGCUAAUCUACUGAGACCCCACAGCUCGAAAUUGCUACAGAGAUGUCCUUCUGACGUGCCACUAUGGACACCGUGGGUUGGGACGUCUACGCGGCAGUGCAGUGCAGCUGGUCAGUUUUGGAGGCUGGCGACGCAGCACGGUCACCGAACUUUCAUCCAACUGGAUGUUGGAGGAUGACCCGUGGAUAUGGUCGUCAACAAAGUUGGAAGAAGACCUCAUUGACUCAGUGACUUGGAAAUUAAGGCAACAACUAUGCGGACAGCCAUGGAGCACCAUUGACUUAGUGACUUGGAAGAAGACCUCAUUGACUUCUUAGUGACUUGGAAAUUAGGCUAAGUUGGAAGAAGACCUCAUUGACUUGGUGACUUGGAAAUUAGAGACUUGCGAGAUUGAAUCGGCAUUUUAAAUAGCCUUGUUAUUACUCGCUGCAUCAAGGAGCACAGAGCCAAGCUACGCUGACAGCCAUGGAGCACCAUUGCUCCAUCCUACUCGUGGCCUCCCUCCUCCUGCUUGCAUCUCCAGCAUGGACAUCGGCCUCCGCGGGAAGUGACGGCACCGGCGCUGACCACCGUGCGCUCAUGCAGUUCCGGUCCCUCAUCACGGACGACCCAUACGGGGCCUUGGCAUCAUGGGGCGCCGGCAACAUGACCGCGUCGGCGCCGUGCGGGUGGCACGGCGUCACGUGCGGGGUGCGCGGGCACCGCCGCGGCCGCGUGACAGCGCUGGACCUCCGCGGGCUCGGCCUGGCCAGCUCCGGCGCCGCUGCUCCUUCAUCCCUCUCGGGCCUCACCUACCUCCGGCGACUCGACCUCGCCAGGAACCGCCUCGGCGGCGGCGUGCCCUCCCCGUUGCCGCCCUCCCUCGAGCACCUCAAUCUCAGCCAUAAUGCGCUGCAGGGGCCAGUGCCCCCAGCGCUGGGGUCACUGCACCGCCUCCAGGAGCUCAGUCUCGCCUACAACAACCUCACCGGAGCAAUCCCUGCCUCCCUUGGCAACCUCACCUCCCUCACCAUCCUCAGCCUCAGCAAGAACAACCUCACCGGAGCAAUACCUGCCUCCCUUGGCAACCUCACCUCCCUCACCAUCCUCAGCCUCAGCAAGAACAACCUCACCGGAGCAAUCCCUGCCUCCCUUGGCAACCUCACCUCCCUCACCAUCCUCAGCCUCAGCAAGAACAACCUCACCGGAGCAAUACCUGCCUCCCUUGGCAAGCUCACCUCCCUCACCAUCCUCAGCCUCACCAGCAACAACCUCGCCGGCGCCAUCCCUGGCGCUCUCGGCAACCUCGAAGCUCUCACCGGCCUCUACCUCGCCCACAACAACCUCACCGAAGCAAUCCCUACCUCCCUUGGCAACCUCACCUCCCUCACCAUCCUCAGCCUCACCAGCAACAACCUCGCCGGCGCCAUCCCUAGCGCUCUCGGCAACCUCAAAGCUCUCACCGGCCUCUACCUCAGCGGCAACAUGCUCCAAGGAUCCAUACCUUCCGCCGUGUUUAACAUCUCCUCUCUCCACGAACUUGUCGUGCAGUCCAACAACCUCACCGGGACUCUGCCCCCGAACGCCGGUGGCAGGCUGCCCAGACUCACGUGGUUCCUCGUUGACCACAACCGGCUACACGGUGCCAUCCCGCCGUCGCUCUGCAACCUCACCUCCCUCACCAUCCUCAGCCUUAGCAACAACAACCUCACCGACGCCAUCCCUGGCGCUCUCGGCAACCUCAAAGCUCUCACCGGCCUCUACCUCGACCACAACAACCUCACCGAAGCAAUCCCUGCCUCCCUUGGCAACCUCACCUCCCUCACCAUCCUCAGCCUCACCAGCAACAACCUCGCCGGCGCCAUCCCUAGCGCUCUCGGCAACCUCAAAGCUCUCACCGGCCUCUACCUCGGCGGCAACAUGCUCCAAGGAUCCAUACCUUCCGCCGUGUUUAACAUCUCCUCUCUCCAGAAACUUGUCGUGCAGUUCAACAACCUCACCGGGACUCUGCCCCCGAAUGGCAGGCUGCCCAGACUAACGUGGUUCGUCAUUGACUACAACCGGCUACACGGUGCCAUCCCGCCGUCGCUCUGCAACGCCUCCAAGCUGGAGGUGGCAGAGAUGUCAGAUAAUUCCUUCUCCGGAGUCAUACCGGACUGCCUUGGAACUCACCUCAAGAACUUGUGGUCACUGCUACUGGACUCCAACCGGCUGGAAGCAAAUGUUGAUGCUGACUGGGGAUUCAUGGAUAGUCUGACCAACUGCAGCAAUCUGAAGUCCAUUGGCCUGGCUGAAAACAAGCUGGGAGGUGUGCUUCCUGGCUCGAUCGCAAACCUUUCGACGAGCAUGGAGCGCUUGAGCAUGUGGGGCAACAUGGUAAGCGGGCAAAUACCUCAGGAAAUCGGCAACCUUGUCAACUUGAACAUCGUUGCUAUGCAUCUCAAUAACCUUACUGGUAUUAUCCCUACCUCAAUUGGCAAACUUAACAAGCUGAGCAACCUUGCCUUGUCCGGCAACAAGCUAUCAGGGCAAAUCCCACCAACAAUUGGCAAUCUCACCGUGCUCACCAAACUAUCCCUUGAUGACAACAUGCUCACGGGUCCCAUUCCUUCCAGUCUUGGUAGUUGCCCUUUGGAGGCGCUGUCCCUGGAGCACAAUCGCCUUACUGGUCCAAUACCAAAAGAAGUUCUCCUCAUAUCCACGCUUUCCGACUACGCGAGUUUCAAAGGGAACAUGCUAACUGGAUCGUUGCCAUCGGAAGUUGGUCACCUGAAAAAUCUUGUGACCCUUGAUGUGUCUGGAAAUAGGUUAACCGGGGAAAUCCCCAACUCUCUUGGCGAUUGCCAAAUCUUACAGUAUUGCUUUAUGAAAGGGAACAUGUUUCAAGGGAAAAUUCCAGAGUCAUUGGGACAACUGAAGGGCCUCUUGGUUCUUGAUCUUUCAAGCAACAACUUGUCUGGUCAUAUUCCAGACUUCUUUGGUAACGUGAAAGGUCUUCAACAACUGAAUAUCUCCUUCAAUAACUUUGAUGGUGAAGUCCCAAAGCAAGGAAUAUUUCUUAACGCCAGCGCGUUUUCAGUCGAGGGAAACUCUGGCCUCUGUGGAGGUAUUGCUCAGCUGAAAUUGCCACCUUGCUCAGAUAAUGGCAGCACUAGCAGCAAUAAGCGAUCACACAAACUUGUCAUGGUAGUCUCCAUCGCCACUGCCUUUCUAGGAAUCUCCUUGCUCCUUGCACUAUCUGUAUUAUGUCAUCAAAGAAGGAAGUUGAUAAAGGCAGAACAUGCCUUACCACUCAUCAAUGAUCAGUAUGCAAGGGUUUCAUAUGUCAACUUGAUGAAUGCAACAAAUAGUUUUGCUGCUGAAAACCUCAUAGGCAUUGGAAGCUUCGGCUCUGUUUACAAGGGAACAAUGAUAAGCCAUGACCAAGAAGUUUUUGUCGCUGUGAAGGUGCUCAACCUUCAGCAGCGAGGGGCGUCACAAAGUUUCAUUGCAGAAUGUGAGACUCUGAGAUGUGCUCGACAUCGGAACCUUGUGAAAAUCUUGACGGUGUGUUCAAGUAUUGAUUCCGGUGGCCUUGAUUUCAAAGCUAUUGUAUUUGAUUUCCUACCAAAUGGAAAUCUAGACCAGUGGCUACACCACCGUCUCAGGGAACAUGGCACCCAUAGUAGGAUUGAUCUUGUCCAACGGAUAGACAUUGCCAUUCAUGUCGCUUCUGCACUCGAAUAUCUUCACCACUAUAAACCAACCCCGAUAGUUCAUUGUGAUCUCAAGCCAAGCAAUAUUCUCCUUGACAAUGACAUGGUUGCCCAUGUUGGUGAUUUUGGGCUCGCAAGAUUUGUGCAUCAAGACCAGACUAACCCCUCAGAUAUAUCAAGUGGUUGGGCUACAAGAAGGGGAACCAUUGGAUAUGCUCCUCCAGGUCAGGUUCUAACAAGUACACUGCAUUUUACUUUCAUUUAACAUUGUAGCUGUAGCAUUGCUGAUAGUCUUCAUUCAGUUGCUGAAUAUGUGUGUUCCAAACAGAGUAUGGACUGGGUAACGAAGUCUCAAUCUAUGGUGACAUGUACAGCUUCGGACUACUAUUGUUGGAAAUUUUCACAGGAAAAAGACCAACAGAUAGCGACUUCGUGCAAGACCUCAACCUUCAUAGGUACGUGCAAAUAGCACUGCAAGAUCAGCAAGUCACCAGUGUGGUAGAUCAACAGUUACUGCCAGUACAAGAUCCGGAACUCGAAGGGAGAACAAGCAGCUCCAGUAGCACCAGAGAAAUGAUAGUUGCCUGUGUUACUUCACUUCUGCAGAUCGGAAUUCUGUGCUCGAAGGAACUUCCAAAAGACCGCUUGCUGAUUGGUGAUGCCUUGAGAGAGCUUCACAGAAUCAAAGACAAUUAUAACCAGUUGCACUUAUUAAGUACGUAGAACUUUCUGAAACACAGGAUUUCCAUAUCCAGAACCAUUUUACAGUAUUCCGUGAUCAGAACAGAUACCAGGUCCUUGACUGCACUCAACCAAGUGCUGUGCUUUUUACUUUUAAAAAGACAUGAAAGCUUAGGAUUGACGUUGCAUACACAAUGGACGCCAGUAUCGCAUCCACCUGCACAUCAGGGUCUAGAGUACGUUGUUAGAUUAUCUUAAUAUAUGAUGUGGCCCAUGUAAUUAAAGAGAAUGAUUUUCAUAUGAAAAGAUCGCAGUGUGUGUUUCUUUGAAGAUCUAUGAAUGUUUUACUCCAAUUAUUCAGAGAUACGUUGUUUUGCUUUCUACAUACUAAUACAUACUCAUAAGGCAACUUUUUGCAUCCAACUUCUACUUUGGCAUUAUGCGGUUAUGCCUGUCAUCAUGCAAUCUGCAGAAAUAGAUGAAUGGUAUAAAUGGAGGGAAAAGAGAGGUAAAGCUCUUGUUCCAAACCUGAUGAAGUUCUCAUCAGUCACCCAUAAUAAACUGUUCAGCAACAAAAACAUGCAUGAUGCAUUGUUAUAUUUUUAAAAGAAAUGAUGCAUCAUUAUGGAUUCUACUGCCUGCUGGCAUGUUUAACCAAUACUACAUUUUCUGCUUCACCAAUUCACUUUGUUCUUCUCAUGAACUUUUGAGUAAGAUCUUUGAGCGCUUGCCUUGAGUUAAGCACAACUUGAUCCUCACUAUCAGGAAGAUCAUCGAUAGCGCUUGUCGAAGGAUUUGGGGACAAUUCAACUCAGGAGUAUUUCCUCUCCUGGUGCCUUUUCUUAUCACCACUCUUUUACAUUUUAACCCUACAUAUAUAUCUACACACACCAACACUCCCCCUCAAGAUGGGCAGUAUAUAUCUAUCAUGCCCAUCUUGUCACACGAAGACACACACUCCUUAACACUCAACCCUUUUGUUAGACAAUCAGCAAUUUGUCCCUUAGAAGUUACAAACCCUAGACUUAAAGUUCUAUCAUCAAUCCUUUCUCUAAUAAAGAAGCGGUUGAUCUCCACAUGUUUGGUUUGAUCAUGUUGAACUGGAUUGUUGGCAAUGUUAAUAGCUGAUUUGUUAUCACACGAAAGCUUCAUAGGCCUGCCCUCCUGGAGUUUUAACUCAGUUAGAAGAUUUUUUCCCACAAUAGUUCACUCAGACUCUAUGACAUAGCCCUAUACUCAGCUUCUGCAGUGGAGCGUGAUACAACAGGUUGUUUCUUGCUUCUCCAAGUCACCAAGUUACCACCAACAAAUACACAAUAGCCUGAAGUUGAUCUUCUGUCAUCAGGGCAACUUGCCCAAUCUACAUCACAAUAACCUUCCACAUUCAGAUGUCCAUUUUUUUUGAACAACAAAUCUUUGCCUGGAUUCUUCUUUAAAUAUCUCAAGAUUCUAUAGACUGCAUCCAUGUGAUCACUCCUUGGGUCAUGCAUGUAUCUGCUUACUACACUCACAGCAUAUGUUAUAUCAGGUCUUGUAUGACAUAGAUAGAUGAGGCGCCCCACAAGUCUUUGAUAUCUCUCCUUAUCUACAGGAUGUCCAGAUUCAGCAUCCAAUUUGUGGUUUUGCUCUAUUGGUGUAGUGACUGAAUGACACCCAAGCAUACCUAUCUCAUCCAGUAGAUCCAGAACAUAUUUCCGUUGUGAGAGCACAAUCCCUCUAGGAGAUCUUACUACUUCAAUCCCUAGAAAAUAUCGAAGUUGUCCCAAAUCUUUAAUUUCAAAUUCCCUUCUCAAAUUCUCCUUCAAUCUCACCACCUCCAAAGUAUCAUCUCCAGUGAUAAUAAUAUUAUCAACAUAGACAGCUAGGAUGGUUAUGUGAUUUUUGGAACAUAGAUAGAACAGAGUAUGAUCACCAUUACACUGCUUAUAUCCCAUAGCAAGCAUUGCACGUUUAAACCUAUCAAACCACGCUCUUGGCGAUUGUUUUAGUCCAUAUAAAGAUUUUUUCAAUCUUAGCACCAUACCUUCUGUUUCAGUAGUAGUGAAUCCAGGUGGGAUCUCCAUAUAAACCUCCUCUUUAAGAUCACCAUGAAGGAAUGCAUUUUUAACAUCUAAUUGAUAUAAUGGCCAAUCAGAUUUAGCAGCACAGGAAAUCAAGGUCCUCACGGUACUCAUUUUUGCAACCGGUGCAAAUGUCUCAUCAUAGUCAAUCCCAUAUGUCUGGCUGUACCCUUUUGCUACCAGCCUUGCCUUAUAUCUCUCCACUUUUCCUUCAGGGUUUUGUUUCACAGUAUAUACCCAUUUACAGUCAACCACCUUCUUCCCAGGAGGAGAAGGUAUGAGCUCCCAUGUGUCAUUUUUCUCAAGUGCUGCCAAUUCUUCAAGCAUUGCCUUUUUCCAUUUUGGAUCUUGCUUUGUUUCUUUCCAGUUUUUUGGAAUUUGUACAGAUUGCAAGGUUGUCAUAAAUGCUCAGUACUCAGAUGGUAAUGACCCAUAUGACACAUAAUUACUUACCUCAUUGCUAUGCUCACCUUCACAAUUAUCUUCAAAGCCAUAUCUCACUGGAGGUUUACCUGUAGUGCUCCUUGCUUCUCUUCUUAGAGCAAUAGGUAAGUCAUUCAAGUGAUCCCUUAUCUCUCCCCCUGACUCAGACAACUAGUCAUUCUCAUUAUCACCUGAGUGAACUUGGUCACUUUCAACUUCAUCAACAAUAGUGGUGGGUUGUAUGGGAUUUUCUCUCCUUCUUCUCGUAUAUACUCGUAGAUUCCUCUCUGUAGGAGACUGUUGUACUCUCCCUUCCUGUAUAGUGUCAUUCACUUUAACUGAAUUUGGUAUUAGACCAACCAUAACUCUCUUCUCAUUUGCUUGUGUCUCAACUCUACACUCCAUUUGCUCACUAUCUUCUGAUCCAAUUGGAGGGUCUAAAUCAAUGAAUAAAGAACUUAAAUCAGUCUUCUCACCAUAGAAAGGAACUGAUUCCCUAAAAGUCACAUCCAUACUUACAAACAUAUGAUGCUCAGAUGGGCUCCAACACUUAUAUCCUUUUUGUCCUGAUGAGUAUCCCACAAAAAUACACUUGAUAGCUUGAGAAUCUAGCUUUCCAACCCCCGGUCUAUGAUCUCUAACAAAACAUGUGCAUCCAAAGAUUUUGGGUGGAACCAAGAACUCAUUUUUUCCAAAUAACGUUUCACAAGGAGAUUUCAUGCCAAGUAUCCUUGAUGGCAUACGGUUUAUCAAGUGAAUAGCAGUCAAGACUGCCUCACUCCAAAGGAACUUAGGCACAUUCAUUGUAUACAUAAGUGAACGAGUUACCUCCAGAAGAUGCCUAUUCUUCCUUUCAGCCACUUCAUUUUGUGGUGGGGUAUCAGGGCAUGAAGUCUGGUGUAGAAUUCCUUCUCUUGAAAGGAAAUCCUAAAAUUCCUUAUUCACAUAUUCAGUUCCAUUAUCACUCUGGAUAAUUUGAAUUUAAGUGCCAAACUGAUUUUUUACAUAAGCAUAGAAAGCCUUAAAACAUUCAAGUACCUCACUUUUAUGUUUCAUUAAAUAUACCCAUGUCAUAUGAGAAUAACAGUCAAUAAAGGUAACAAAAUAUUUUGCCCCACUUAUAGCAGUGACCGGAGAAGUCCACACAUCUGAAUGGAUUAAUAUAAAAGGUGAUAAACUUCUUAAACCCCUGCUCACUAUGAGCUUCUAGUGUGCUUCCCAUACUCACAAGCAUCACACAUUAAAUUACUCUUAUUCACCUUAGACAUUUCAUGAGGGAACAUUUUGCUCAUGACAUCAAAAGAUACAUAUCCUAAACGACAAUGCAACAACAUCACCUUAGCUUCAUCUUCACUAGCUGAUAGGGAAAAAUAGACUUCUUCUUUUGUCUUGCUUCUAUCAAGAUACCAAAGCCCAUCAUGCCAAGUUCCAACUCCAAGAUUUCUUCCGGUCCUCCUUUCCUGAAUUAAACCAUUUUCACGAUCAAGAAGCACCCGACAGUCCAUUUGAUCAAUCAACGAGCUUAUUGAAAUAAGAUUUACAGGAAAGGAUGGCACAUGUAAUACUGAUGAUAAGGUAAUAGAUGGUGUGCAUUGAACUGUCCCAACACCUCUAAUAGAACAAGAGGUUCCAUAUGCAGUUUUGAUUGUCCCCUUAUAAGAAUGUGAGUAUGGUGUAUAAGAUGUAAAUUCAUUUACCUUACCCGUGACAUGCCUUGAUGCACCUGAAUCUAAUAUCCAAUUGGAUAUAUAAUUUUGGUUGAAUGUACCUAAGUCUGAGUGAACCACAUCAGCAACAGUGUCACUCGAGGAUGUUGUUUCUUGAUUGUUUAGUUGAGAACCCUUUCCAAUUUCCUUCCACUUCCUGAACUCAUCUAGCUCAUUUGGCAAAACUGUAACUGAUUCUGUAGCACACCCAUCUGACAUUGCAUGAUUAGCUCUAAAGCUUACUCUUCCACCACGACUUGAACCUCCUUGGCUAGUACCACCUCUUAACAUACCUCUGCCUUGACCCCUACCACGAUUUGGUUUUAGUGGCUGCCGGCAAUCACGAAUCAAAUGCCCCUUUUCACCACAAUUAUAACAAAUUCUGGUCUCUUGGGGCCCUGCUACCACAUAAGCUUGACUUGGUGAAUUUAAGGUGUGACCCUUUAUCACUUUGAGUCUUGUCUCCUCCUGUGCCAUAGCAGCAAUAGCUUCUUCAAGACUAGGGAGAUUAGCUUGAUGGAAUAAUACAGCACAUCUUCCUUCAAAUUUUGGAUUUAGGCCCCUCAAAAACUGAAGGACCCUUUUCUUCUCUACCCACUUCUUCACCCAAGCCACACAUUCAGGGUGAGGUAACUCAAUAGGAUCAUAAUGAUCUAAGUCAGCCCAUAGUCGCUUCAAUUCUGCAACAUAAUCCAUCAAAGUAUGCUCCCCCUGUUUCAGAUAAUGUAUUUUAUCAUCUGUAUCUGCCAACAGCAUCACAUUCCCAACACCUGAGUACAUGCUUGCAAGAGCCUUCCAUAUCUCCAAGGCAGAAGCAAUAGUAUCAACAGAACCCGCAAUUGUUGAGGUUAUAGAAUUGAAUAACCAAGUAACCACUAAAGCAUUAGUGGCAUUCCAAUUCUUCCAGUCACUGCUCAACUUAUCUCUAGGUUCAGUUUUUUCCCCAUUGAUGAAGCCCUCGAGCUUCUUUGAUUGCAACAGUAACAAUGCUCUUCUGGACCAAGCCAAAUAGUUUUUCAUGCCUUCCAACUUGAUAUCAAGAGGCAUCAACUCCAAUUUUUGAACCAUAUCAAUCUCUUUAUUUGAGGACGGGACAUCAUCCUUCUUUGCAGUGAGUAGUUCCACCAAUUUCCCAAGAACAUUUUCAAUUCCUUGAUUCUCUGCCAUAACAGCGGCUUUGGAACCCCUUGCUUCCUCACAACAACACUUUCUUCCUCCAGAUGCAGUAUAGUUGUUGCUCCUCCACAAACCAGCACAGAUCCUCUGAAUUGGCUUGGAAACCAGCAACGACCAGCAACUCAACUGCUCCCUGCUCCCUUCUCUCUCUGCCAGCGACCAGCAACUCAACUUCUCUGCCAAAACCACCAGCAGCUCCACCUUGCAUGCCUCCCCAACACGCAGCUCGAUCUGGGGCCUCCGCCGGCCUGCGUCCCUCAGCACGAGCAGCCACGCAGCCACUCCAGCUCCUGCUCGCCAGCCACCUGCUGCUCCUCCGCUGGGCCCCCUGCUCCUGCUGCUCCUCCGCCGCCCGUGGGCUCCCCGGCCGGUGUCGCGGCCGCCUAGAGCUCCAGCACGGGCAGAUCCGCGCCACCGCUACGAUUUGCGGCAUUGGGGAAGCAGCGCCGCAAGGACGCCCGCCGCCAUUGGAUCCGCUCACACACGACGCAGCACCGCCCUCUCCUCCAGCUCCUGCUCGCCGGCCGACGUCACGCUAACGAGGCCCUCACCAUCGCCACCAACAUCGCCCCCAGCCCUAGCCCUGAUACCAUGUCGAAGGAUUUGGGGACAAAUCAACUCAGGAGUAUUUCCUCUCCUGGUGCCUUUUCUUAUCACCACUCUUUUACAUUUUAGUCCUGCAUAUAUAUAUCAAUAUUACAUACACACACCAACAGCGCUCGCUGCCAGUUUUGCAUGUUCAGCAGCAAGGGACCUCGUCCUCUCGAUUCCCUGACUUUUUGAAAGGUAUUUGAGGGCCUACAAGUGUAAAAUUGAGCAGUUCUGAGACCACACUAGAUAAUUUAUGAGCAUUUCACAACCCAAAUAGUUGGAUUAUAUUACUGGAAACAAAGAAAAGUAAACUUUCCUUUCAAAAAAAAAUACACUUGCAAUACGAACCGUCUUAACAUUUAAAGGGUCAUCAAAUCCCUGUUCAACAAUCUCAUGCAGUUCAGGGAAUUCUUCCAUCGCAAAAAGUACGGGAGCUGUCACAAUUCCCUGUCCAUACAGGGCAUAUAUGAUUCCUUACAUGUCAUUGAUAUGUUAAAAAGUAAAAUACUACUGAGGAAAUAUUGAGUGAAUAACUGUAUUACUUGAUGGAUAUCAGACAAGAGGCUUUGCCUAGUGAAGCUGAUGUGCCUGUGAAAUCGAGGAUGUCAUCGAUCAACUGAUAUGCUAUGCCCUGGAAGAGAGAGUGCAGGUCAUCUUAACAGUUCAUGUGUCUAGCAAAAAUAGGAACAGCUUCUGUGUAAGGAAAAAUACAACACACCAAGUGUCUGCCAUACUGAUAAGCAAGAGCUUGUACUUCUGUUGUUUGCUCAGCAAGGACAGAAAUAGCUUUGCAGCUGUUUGAAAUCAAUGCAGCUGUCUUGUAGUAUGUCUUCUGCAAAUAAUAGUCCAUGCUGUACAAGCAUCCACCAACAGGUGUCACAUUAAGUAAAAUAUUAGAAAGUGUUGAUUGUCAUGGCUUGAUGAACUCAUCUAGCAUUCCUUUCUUUUCUUGAAUCUGCUCGAUCCAGAACAAGGUUAUCCAAGUUUUUAGUAGAUAGAUUAGCACCAAUGAUCUAUUUAAUUGUGAUUGGCAUUAUAUUAAGUAGUGAAUACUUUUCCUGGACUUUGAUUUGAUGAUAGUUGAUGAAAAGUAACGUCAGUACAUAUCCACUCUAAGCUAAACAGCUACUUGCACACAUAUGACAGCCCAAAUAAUGAAGAGUUAAAGAAUCAACUGAGCAUAACAACACAUUCUAAGGCACUAAUCUG